CUCCCUAUACGGCGAACUAUCCCCUCUUUCUUUUAUCUUUGGCUCAACUUCAGUCCUUUUUUUCCUUUGAUUUCCCGAAAGCUAUGGAGUUCCUCAGCUCAAUCGCGGGUCUGAUCCCCUGUUUCUAUGAUCACACCUCCAGGCAUACGCUCUACAUUCGUGAUCUGAAAAAAAAUCUCCGAGCCUUGAGCCAGAAAAUGGAGGAGCUCAACAACUUGUAUGAAGAUGUGACGGCAAGGGUUGAAGGUGAAGAGCAACGACAGAUGAGGCGCAGAAAGGAAGUGGGUGGCUGGAUCCGUGGAGUAGAAGAAAUGGUGGAAGAAGUUAACGAAAUUCUGCGAAGAGGCGAUCAAGAAAUCCAGAAGAGAUGUCUCAGAUGCUGUCCCAGGAAUUGUUGGUCUAGCUACAAGAUUGGGAAGGCAGUAAGCGAAAAGCUGGUUACCUUAUCUGAUCAAAUCGGCAGAGGACAUUUCGAUGUUGUAGCCGAGAUGCUGCCUCGUCCUCUAGUAGAUGAACUGCCCAUGGAGGAGACUGUGGGCUCAGAAUUGGCGUACGGCAGAAUCUGUGGGUUUCUCAAAGAUCCACAAGUGGGAAUUAUGGGAUUAUAUGGAAUGGGGGGUGUGGGCAAAACCACCCUCUUGAAGAAAAUCAACAAUGACUUCCUCACUACAUCCAGCGAUUUUGAUGUUGUGAUUUGGGAUGUGGUGUCAAAACCGCCCAACAUUGAAAAAAUUCAGGAAGUUAUUUGGAAUAAAUUACAAAUCCCACGUGAUAUAUGGGAAAUUAAAAGCACUAAGGAGCAGAAGGCUGCAGAAAUAUCGAGAGUUCUGAAAACAAAGAAGUUCGUGUUGUUGUUGGAUGAUAUUUGGGAGCGACUUGAUCUGCUAGAAAUGGGGGUCCCGCAUCCCGAUGCUCGAAACAAGUCCAAGAUAAUUUUCACGACCCGGUCACAAGACGUGUGCCACCAGAUGAAAGCUCAGAAGAGCAUAGAAGUGAUGUGUUUGUCAUCAGAAGCGGCUUGGACUUUGUUUCAGAAGGAGGUAGGAGAAGAAACAUUAAAGUCUCAUCCACAUAUACCGAGGCUUGCAAAGAUUGUUGCUGAAGAGUGCAAAGGUUUACCUCUGGCUUUGAUUACUCUUGGGCGAGCUUUGGCAGGUGAGAAAGAUCCCUCAAAUUGGGACAAGGUAAUACAAGAUUUGGGCAAAUUUCCAGCUGAAAUUUCGGGUAUGGAAGAUGAAUUGUUUCAUAGAUUAAAAGUCAGUUAUGAUAGAUUAUCUGAUAAUUUCAUCAAAUCUUGUUUUACAUAUUGGUCCUUAUUCUCUGAAGAUCGGGAGAUUUAUAAUGAAAACCUUAUAGAAUAUUGGAUAGGAGAGGGGUUUUUGGGUGAAGUUCAUGACAUACAUGAAGCGCGUAAUCAAGGCCAUAAAAUUAUUAAAAAACUAAAGCAUGCAUGUUUAUUAGAGAGUGGCGGUUUAAGAGAAACAAGAGUUAAGAUGCAUGAUGUGAUCCACGACAUGGCUUUGUGGUUAUAUUGUGAAUGUGGGAAGGAAAAGAACAAAAUUUUAGUAUACAAUAAUGUUUCUAGACUGAAGGAAGCUCAAGAAAUUUCAGAAUUAAAAAAAACGGAGAAGAUGUCAUUAUGGGAUCAGAAUGUUGAGUUCCCUGAAACAUUGAUGUGUCCCAAUCUCAAGACUCUAUUUGUGGACAAAUGUCAUAAGUUGACGAAAUUUCCAAGUAGAUUCUUUCAAUUCAUGCCUCUAAUAAGAGUUUUGGAUUUGUCAGCCAAUUAUAAUUUAAGUGAGUUACCUACUAGUAUUGGUGAAUUGAAUGACUUGAGAUAUCUUAAUUUGACAUCCACAAGAAUAAGAGAGUUGCCCAUUGAGCUAAAAAAUUUGAAAAAUUUGAUGAUUCUGCGUCUAGAUCAUUUGCAAUCCCUUGAAACUAUCCCACAAGACCUCAUAUCAAAUCUCACAUCUUUAAAGUUGUUCAGCAUGUGGAAUACCAAUAUUUUCAGUGGAGUUGAAACCUUGCUUGAGGAGUUGGAGUCCUUGAAUAACAUCAAUGAGAUAGGAAUCACCAUAUCUAGUGCUCUUUCAUUGAACAAAUUAAAGAGAAGCCACAAAUUACAGAGGUGUAUAAGGCAUCUACAGUUACAUAAAUGGGGGGAUGUAAUCACACUUGAACUAUCAUCUUUGUUUUUAAAAAGAAUGGAGCAUUUGAUUGACCUUGAAGUAGACCAUUGUGAUGAUGUGAAAGUAAGUAUGGAAAGAGAAAUGAAACAAAAUGAUGUUAUUGGUCUCUCAAACUACAAUGUUGCAAGGGAGCAAUACAUUUACAGCCUCCGUUACAUAGGAAUAAAAAAUUGUUCAAAAUUGUUAGACUUAACAUGGGUUAUUUAUGCUUCAUGUCUAGAAGAACUUUAUGUUGAAGAUUGUGAAUCAAUAGAACUAGUACUACACCAUGAUCAUGGAGCUUAUGAAAUUGUGGAAAAAUUGGACAUAUUCUCAAGGCUCAAAUGCCUCAAGCUCAAUAGACUGCCAAGAUUGAAGAGCAUCUACCAGCAUCCUCUGCUCUUUCCCUCGCUUGAAAUCAUCAAGGUGUAUGAUUGCAAAAGCUUAAGGAGCCUCCCAUUUGAUUCCAACACUUCGAACAACAAUCUUAAGAAAAUUAAAGGAGGGACAAAUUGGUGGAAUCGGUUGAAGUGGAAAGAUGAAACCAUCAAGGACUGUUUUACUCCUUACUUCCAAGUCCAUGAGGCUGAAGCAUAUUUUGCAGAAGAGUUUGAAACUGGCAGCAUAGAUGAUGAUAUGCAGGAACAGCUGGUAUCAAAUUAAUUUCUAUCCAUCUUUCAGGUAUUAAUUAACUUUUAUGUUAUAUUUGAAAAAUACUUUUCUUUCCUUAUUCAUUCUUUUGUGGAAAUUUUUACUUUACCUAUGUCAAAAGUGCAUCAAAGUUUCAAACAUCAUAAUAACUUUCAAUGUUUGAUCUGUAUAGAUUACUUCCAUAAUUUUCAGCCUAGUCCUAAUAACUUUCAAUCUAUUUUUUUCCCUUUUAUUUUCUUUCUCUUCUAUGUUGCUUUGAAUCUUUUGAGAUCCAAACAAAGCCAAAUCUACACCCUUCCAAGAUCUUGGAUGGGUAAUUCAAUUCUAGUUGUUCCUUGUGAAAUAAUUGUUAUAAAAGGUUCACCCAGAUGGCACUUUGAAGGAGGUCUAUUGUUUAAAAAUGGGAUGACAUUCCCUGUUGGUUACUUGAGAACUUGAAAAUAAUUCAGAGUUUUAAACUAUAUUAUUUAUUUGUCUUAAUUUUUUUGAUCAAUUUCAAUCUAUAAACAGAAACAGAUCAACUUCUUUUCAUCUUAGUUCCAUAUAUUUCAAGCUGAACAACAGGGUUUCACAACUACUAUAUCUAUAGAUAUUCCAUUAAAGAAUUAUUGCCUUGUUAAGUUACAAGGGUAUUUUAUCUUCUAUUGUUAAGUUACCUCUAUCUGGUUGGCUCUGAUCACUUUUUGCUUUUCUAUUUUCUUUUUUUCAUUUCUCUUUUUGUUGCAUUCAGGGUUCGGGUUGGUUCUAGCAGUUCUGGCAACAGCCGGGUUUUCAUUUCUUUAUAUAUAGACUGCGUUGCUGCCGUUUUUGCUGAUUGGAGAUGUCCUGCUCUUUUUCCUUCUACUUGGAAUCUGGGUUUGGUCUGAGGUCUCUGGUAUGUUUCAUCAGGGAUGCGCAAAUGCUGAUUCUCAGAGCAUUGAUAUUUCAUGGUGCUGAGACUGCUGGAAAGGUUGGUGUACUUAUGUGAUGGUUGCAGCAUCCUUUUUGUUUCUGGAUCUCAGGAAUUGGAUUCUGUGGGCUGCCUUUGGCUUUUGAUGUUGGGUGGGUUUUGUUUUGUUAAUUUGUUGAGGCCGGUGCAGUGUGGUGGGUCUGAAGCUGCUGCUGGGUCAAUGCGGAUGUGAUAUGGGAAUGCUUUUGGAUCUUUGGGCUUCAGCAGGUUGAUUAUGUUUCCUCUGCUUACAAAUGUUUUAUCACCAGAUCCUAUGUGGGGAUGGGAUGGAUUGUUGUGAUAGUGAUGGUGUGGGUUUUGUUUUGUUUAUUUGUUGAGGCUGGUGCAUGUUUUAUCACCAGAGCACCGCUUAUUUCCUUGAGUUUGAUAUCCCACUGUCAAGUGUAUUGUCCAUAAUGUUAUGGUGUGUGUGUGUGUGUGGAUUGGAAUGUUUUGUGAGAACAACUGGUUGAUUUUAACAUUUGAGGUUGUUAAUGGUGAUUUUUCUUAUUAUGAUGAACAAGGUGGAAGUAUAAGCAGAGUUCUGAGGACUCAAACAACAACAUAGACUAGAAUUUCUCAUUUUUCAUUCCGGAGCAUUUAGAUCUCCAAACAGCAACCUGACUGAACAUGACCACAAAACUCCUCCGGCGCCACCAAUUUCCUCCACCUGCGACUCUUCAAAUCCAACAUGUAAGCCACAUGGGCUUCACCAAAGCUUCUGCACCCAAUCACUAAAGCUUCCCCUCCCAUGUUGUCAUGUAAGCUGUGUGGCGAAUCUCAGCUGGCAAUUUGUCUACUGUCUGCCAUCUGCAGUCCUGCAGUGCCACCACCUCACCCGCAUGACACAUGUACAUCCCCAUGUCACCACCGUCUACGCAGGUCCUCGGGCACGUGCUGUCUUCCAGGAAAUCCUCCUCUGCCUUGUCCCACUCCCAGUUGGCAAAAUCGAAGGCUUCCGCGCUCCUCUCGAACCUGCCUUGCAUCUCUGUGCAGUACCCGCCGAUGACAUGGAACUUACCACGGUGGAAUACUCCUUUGCAUUCAUCGCUCUCCCUUGCCAUGUCAGGCAGUGGGGCCCACUCAUCCUUUGCCACGUCAUACACCAGCGCUGACUUCAAUGCAUUCUUCUCACCAACAUACACCACCCGCUCCAAACCCGACGCCGCACAUCCAAAGAACGACCUCCGCGCACCUGGCAUAUCCGCUCCCCGCCGCCACGUCGCCGACAGGAAAUUGUAAAUAAACACAGAGCUCGAAACCUCCCAUGUAUCCGGAUCCCACCCGCCCACCACCACAAGCUCCGACUCGACUCCCACCAGCUGACAGAACAUCGGCAACCCAUCGGAAAACCCAGGAACCGGCGGUAACUCUCUCCAAUUACCCGUUUCGAGGUCCAAAAGCGUGACCCGAUAAGCAAGCGUAGGACAUUUCAUCCCACCAGAACUCCGAUUCGGGACCACCCGGGCCUGCGCCUUUGCGAAAACGGGUCGAGUAUACCCUGCCGUUUUCCUCUGUCGGAAAAAAUCAGGGUCCUCAACCUCACUCUUCCAAACCCUACAAACCGCGGCGAUGGUGGAGAAUUUUUCAUAAUAAACGCGAAUUAAACAUUGGCGGGCAACGUCGUCCGGGAGACCCGGAAUGAAGUCCAUGAACAAAAAAAAAACAGCAAGACUGUGGUGCUAUUAAUGGAGAGAAACCCAACCAGAGAAAUAUUUGAAUAAAUUGAGAUGGGGGGUUGAAAUAAAUUGAGAGAGCAGCUAGCUACAGAAGAAGAAGAUGAUGAAGAGAGAAACAGUUGAAUAUAAGAUGAUGAUGAGGAGGAGGAUUGCCUUUUAUAGAGCUUGCCAACAAGACUGUAAUACAGGUUUAAAAAAGGUUAGGCGUUCUAGAAAGUUAAAACGAAGGCGACCAUAGGUAAUGCCAAUACGGAAUACCAUACAAACAGCCGUUGUUUCAGUGUGAAUGGCUCCCUAGAAAAUCUGAGUCCAUGUGGAUGGGUCUGUAUUUCUCACUAUAAUUUCAGCUCAAAGGUACGUUUUAUCCUGUGCCAUCUCACACUCAAAAAUUAAUAAUUAAAAAAUCCACGUAAUCAACAUUUGAGUUGAGCCACCGUUAUAUAUCACUUAAAAAAAUUAUAUAAUAUCAUUUUACUUAUAUAAUUAUUUUUUUUAAAAACAUGUGAAAACAAUUAAAUUGUGUUUUCAAAAAAUAGGAUGUUUUAUUUAUAUUUUUAGAAAUAAAAAAUUAUUUUUUAUUUCCUUAUUGUAAAAUAUAUUUUCCAUUUUUUUUUAAUUCUUGAAAAUAGGAAACCAUUUUUUAAAAUAGCUUCUAAACAUAGUCUAAAUUUUUAAAAUUUUUCUAAAUCCUGUUUUUCUAAGAAAUGAUCCUUCUAAAAAUAUAAAUCCGUUUUUCCAAACAUAUCUUAUCUCCUAGUAUUUAUUAUUAUUAUUAUUAAAUUGAAAAAUUAAAACAAAAAUUGAUAUCUAAUCUAUUAAAAUUUUAUUUUAAAAUUUUUGCUACUUGUUUUGUUAGAACUAUCUAAUAUAUUUUUUCAACUUUUAAAAAUUAAAAUUAAAUUUAUUUUUUAAUUUUUCUUUUUGUUAUAUUCUACAUUUGAAUGCCAAAAUAAUAAUAAUAAUAAAGAAAGAAAAAUGAUAUGAAAGUCACAAAACCUUAUCAACUCAAAUAAGAGCAUUGGAGUUCCUAAGGUCAGAUUUUCAUUGAAAAUUUAAAGGGGAAAAAAAAAGUGAAAAAUAGCUUUUUUUUUUGUAUUUGAUUUUAUGAUGGAAAAUUAGGAAGAAAAUUAAAUAUAAUUAAAAUUAGUUAAAUUUAUAUAUUUUAAAUUAUUUAAUCAUUAAACUAAGUGAAAUGAGUUUAAAUAAUAAUAAUAAUAAUAAUAAUAUUUAAAUUAUUUAUUAAAAUAAAAUAAUUUAUUAAUUUAAUUUUCAUUCACUUUUUAUUUUUUUUUUCUAUUUUCUUUCUAUUUCAUUUUUUCUAAAAGCAAACACACCCGACAAAAAAUGUUUUGACUUUCAUUAAAAUUUGAAGUCUUAGUAUAAUACUUUCACAUUUAUUUUAAUGCAAAUUAAAAGCCAAUACAAGCAUAUUUGGAGUGUGUUUGAAAUAUUUUCCAAUUUUUUUACUUUAAUUAGAAGUUAAAAUUGAAUCAAACUCAAAAUUUUUAAAGGAUAAUAUAUGUAAAAUAAAGUUUUCACAAUCGAACAACAUUUUUCUAAUUUCUAUAUUAAGCUUUUUUUUAAAAUAGUCAUAAGAUUUUUGAACAAAAAUAGUGAAAAAAAAAAACCCCUUAUUGAAGUUAAAAAAAGAAACUGUUAUCUUCAUAGAAGUCUUACCAAAUAAGAAUCUAGCCUUACGGAAAAAGAAAAAAAAAAAAAAAGGUGGGUCAGUGCCCACUAGAUAAUGCAUUAGACCACCGUUUGACCCAACUUGAUUCUACCUUCAUGAUUUAUCCUUUGAAUUGUAGGAAGAUGAAUUUGGACAAAUCAAAUCAAUUUAUGUCCUAAUUGAUGCCAAAAAUAUCCAUAUAAUUCAAAUAAAUAUAAAUUUGAUAGUGAGAUAAAAGGGUAUGCCGUUUUUUUAUGGGUGUUGCCAGCAUUAUUAUAAUUUAUAGCUAUUUUAAAGAAAAAUUAAAUUAAAAUUAUCAAAAUAUAUUUUAUAUUUGCAAAAGCUAAAAGCAUAACCAAGAAAAAAUCUUUAUGCUUUAUAUUUUAAAAAUUAGUUAAAGCAAAAGCAUAUCCAAAUCAGCCCCACACAUCAAAUAAAGCUAAAAAUGAAAUUGACUAAUCAUUUUUUUACUGGCAAACCUUUUUGACUUUUUUCUUUUACUGUGCCAAUGAGAAAAAUGAUUCAUAUUAAAAGUGAUCAAAUUAAUUAAUUAAAAGAUUACAGCAUCCUUGCCCAGGAGGAGUUUAUCUCAGGAGGCUUUGUUUCUUGGCUUGAAGUGUACGUUGCUCACUACUUCCUUCAUGCGAUUCUCUGGCCUUUUAUGCUGGAGGUUGACUGGUACACAUCAGCCUGCCGCUUGCUACCUGAUUGGUGAUUGUGAAUGCUUUUGGGUCUUGCUGGUUGCUUGUGUUUCCUCUGCUUACAAAUGAAAUAUCACUAUAUAUAUUCUGGGAAGAUAGGAUGGAACUGCAUUUUCAAAGGAUGGAACAUAGUUUACAAACUUGGAUUUUGUUCCUCCCUUCAAAUUUUGAUCACUCAUUAAUGAAAUUUUUUCGUUCAUUUUUUUUUUUUUGGGAGAAAAAAUGGUGUUAAUUUGUUAAUGGCAAUUUGCUGCUGAUUUUGCUGGGUUUGAAAUGUUCUGCUCUCUUUCUGUUGGUGCUGUUGGUGUUGGCGUUUGCUUAAUUGGUGCUUGUCAGAAUUUUUUUAGUAAUAUUAUUUGUAGGAUAUUCUUAGAAAAAGGUAAAUGGUAAUAGCAUCUCAUUCAUUUAUUUUUUUAAAAAAAAAUAUUAUAAAUGGUAGAAGUUACAUGAAUAAUUCAAAAUUUGGCAAUAAAAAUACAAUUCAAUCCCACCAUGACCAAUCAGAAUUGUUUAAAGAAUAAUGUAGUGGUGAUGAAUGCAAGCAUAAAACCAUUGUGGAGCCAAGAUUCAAGGGGCAUAAAACCAUUGUGGAGCCAGGAUUCAAGCAUAAAACCAUUGUUGGUCUAGCUACAAGAUUGGGAAGGCAGUCAGCGAAAAGCUGGUUGCUGUAUCUGGUCAAAUCGGCAAAGGACAUUUCAAUGAUGUAGCCGAGAUGCUGCCUCGUCCUCUAGUAGAUGAACUGCCCAUGGAGGAGACUGUUGGCCUAGAAUUGGCGUAUGGCAGAAGCUGUGGGUUUCUCAAAGAUCCACAAGUGAGAAUUAUGGGAUUAUAUGGAAUGGGGGGCGUGGGCAAAACCACCCUCUUGAAGAAAAUCAACAAUGACUUCCUCGCUACACCCAGCGAUUUUGAUGUUGUGAUUUGGGUUGAAGCAUCAAAAAUUAAAAAAAUUCAGAAAGUUGUUUGGAAUAAAUUGCAACUCUCACGUGAUGGAUGGGAAAGUAGAAGCACUAAGGAGGAGAAGGCUGCCGAAAUAUUGAGAGUUUUGAAAACAAAGAAGUUCGUGUUGUUGUUGGAUGACACAUGGGAGCGACUUGAUCUCCUAGAAAUAGGGGUCCCCCAUCCCGACGCUCAAAAUAAGUCCAAGAUAGUUUUCACAACCCGAUCACAGGAUGUGUGCCACCAAAUGAAAGCUCACAAGAGUAUAGGAGUGGCAUGUUUGCAUGUCGCCAGAAGUGGCUUGGACUUUGUUUCAGAAGGAAGUAGGAGAAGAAACAUUAAAGUCUCAUCCACAUAUACUGAGUCUUGCAAAGACUGUUGCUGAAGAGUGCAAAGGUUUACCUCUUGCUUUGAUUACUCUUAGGCGAGCCUUGGUGGGUGAGAGAGAUCCCUCAAGUUGGGACAAGGUAAUACAAGAUUUGAGCAAAUUUCCAGCUGAAACUUCAGGUAUGGAAGAUGAAUUGUUUCAUAGAUUAAAAGUCAGUUAUGAUAGAUUGUCUGACAAUGCCAUCAAAUCUUGUUUUACAUAUUGUUCCUUAUUCUCUAAAGGUUGGUGGAUUUCAAAUGAAACCCUUAUGGAAUAUUGGAUGAUUGAGGGAUUUUUGGGUGAAGUUCAUGACAUACAUGAAGUGCGUAAUCAAGGGCAUAAAAUUUAAAAAAAAAUUAAAGCAUGCAUGUUUAUUGGAGAGUUGUGGUUCAAGAAAACAAAACAUUAUGAUGCAUGAUGUGAUCCACGACAUGGCUUUAUGGUUAUCUUGUGAAUGUGGGGAGGAGAAGAACAAAAUUUUAGUAUACAAUGAUGUUUCUAAGCUGAAGGAACCUUAAGAAAUUCCAAAAUUGAAAGAGACAAAGAAGAUGUCAUUAUGGGAUGAGAAUGUUGAGGAGUUCCCUAAAACAUUGGUAUGUCCCAAUCUCAAGAUUAGUGGCUUGUGAUAAGUUGAAGAAAUUUCCAAGUGGAUUUUUUCAAUUGAUGCCUUUAAAGUUUUGGAUUUGUCAAAUAAUUAUAAUUUAAGUGAGUUACCUACUGGGAUCGGUAAAUUGGGUGCCUUGAGAUAUCUUAAUUUGUUAGCCACAAAAAUAAGAGAGUUGCCUAUUGAACUUACAAAUUUGAAAAACCUAAUGACUUUGCUUUUGGAGAAUAGGAAAUUCCUGGAAUUAAUUAUUCCACAAGAACUGAUAUCAAGUCUCAUAUCUUUAAAGUUGUUCAUCACAAUCGAUACCAAUAUUUCAAGUAGAGUUUCAGAAAGCUUGUUGGAUGAGUUAGAGUCCUUGAAUGGCAUCAGUGAGAUAUGUAUCACCAUAUGUACUACUCAUUCAUUCAACAAAUUAAAGAGUAGUCGCAAAUUGCAAAGGUGCAUAAGUCAAUUCGAGUUGGAUAAAUGUGGGGAUAUGAUCUCACUUGAACUACCGUCUUCAUUUUUGAAAAGAAUGGAGCAUUUGCGAUGGCUUUGUAUAUUUGAUUGCGAUGAAUUAAAGGACAUAAAAAUUGAAGGGGAAGGAGAAGGGACACAAAGGGAUGCGACUCUCCAAAACUACAUUGCUAUAAGGGAGAACUACUUUUGUGCCCUUUGUAACCUAUAUAUUUUUCAUUGUUCAAAAUUGUUGAACAUUACAUGGCUUGUUAGUGCUCCAUAUCUUGAGGAACUUACUGUUGGAGAUUGUGAAUCAAUAGAACAAUUGAUAUGUUAUGGAGUAGAGGAAAAAUUGGACAUAUUCUCAAGGCUCAAAUACCUUAAGCUCAACGAGCUGCCAAAAUUGAAGAGCAUCUACCAGUAUUCGCUGCUCUUUUCCUCACUUGAAAUCUUGAAGGUGUAUGAUUGCAAAAGCUUAAGGAGCCUCCCAUUCGAUUCCAAUACUUAACAAUAAUCUAAAGAAAAUUAAAGGAGAGACAAGUUGGUGGAAUCAAUUGGAGUGAAUCGAUGAAACUAUCAAGUAUUCUUUUACUCCAUAUUUCCGAAUCGACCAAGCUGAAGCAUACUUAACUGAGGAGUCCGAAACUGGUGGCAUAGAUGAUAUACAAGAGCAAUUGAUAUCAAAUUAAUUUCUUUCAGGUAUUAAUUAACUUUUAUGCUAUAUUUGAAAAAUAAUUUUUUUCCACACUCCCCAUUCAUUUGUGGAAAUUUUUACUUUACCGAUGUCAAAGUGCAUCAAAGUCUCAACAUCAUAGUAACUUUCAAUGUUUGAUGUAUAUGGACUACUUCCAUAAUUUUCAGCCUAAUCUUAAUAAUUUUGGUGUGGUUAUAAUUUUUUUCUUUUUUAUUUUUCUUUUUCGUCCUUCUAAUCUUAAGCCUUCAUUUUGAUGACAAACAUAAUUAAGAAAGGAAAAAAAAAAUGUAAGAAAUCCAAAUCUAAAUCUAUAUAUAUAUAUAUUUUUAUCUCUAUCUGAUUGGCUCUGAUCAGUUUUUGCCUUUUUUUUUUUUUUCAUUUCUCUUUUUGUUGCAUUCAAGGUUGGGCCUUGUUCUAGCAGUUCUAGCAACAGCCGGGUUUUGAUCGUUUUUAUAUAGACUGUGUUGUUGGAACUCCAUUUUGCUUGUAUCCAAUUAUUAGACAGGAAUCGCAUGUUGAAUCAUAUGAAGAAAUUAUGCCAAACAUUUCUAUAGAAAGGGAACAUACAGAAUCUGAACUAACCUGAUUCCAUUUUGAGUGUUGAAUGAAUAAGGUAUGGAUCUUCUAAGGCUGUGGAGGGCACCACCUCUUUCUGAAUUCUCUCUGACGAUGGAGCAGGAGAGAAAACAAGUCUAUUAUUAUUUCAAGUGAUGUGAUUAGACUGAACAGACACUUAGCCUUUGGUUUUAUACCCUCCUGCCUUAGGGACCAUACCCUUUGGCUAUUGGGCCUCACGAGUCUUAGGCCCAUCAUCUAAGGCCCGUGAUGGCAAUGGGCUGUACACAUAAGGUGACCCAUACUAUGGAAAAUUGAUACAAAAUAAAUAUCAAAAGGCGAAUAGCUUAGUCAUGUAUCAUUGUUAAAUAUGUGUGAGUCCAUAUCUUAACAUGUGUUGUUGUUGUUUUUGCUGAUGGUUGAUGUCCUGCUCUUUUUCCUUCUACUUAGUAUUUGGGUUUGGUCUGAGGUCGAUCUAGGUAUGUUUGAUCAGAGAGGCAUAAAUGCUUAUUCUCGGAGCAUUGAUAUUUCAUGGUGCUGAGACUGCUGGGAAGGUUGGUGUACUUAUGAUGGUUGCAUCAUCCUUUUUGUUUCUGGAUCUCAGGAAUUGGAUUCUGUGGGCUGCCUUUGGCUUUUGAUGUUGGGUGGGUUUUGUUUUGUUAAUUUGUUGAGGCUGGUGCAGUGUGGUGGAUCUGAAGCUGCUAGUAUGCUGCUGCUGGGUCAAUGUCAAUGUGAUAUGGGAAUGCUUUUGGGUCUUUGGGCUUCAGCUGGUUGCUUGUGUUUCCUCUGCUUACAAAUGUUUUAUCACCAGAUCCUAUGUGGAGAUGGGAUGGAUUGUUUUAAUAGUGAUGGUGUGAGGGUGUGAUAUAAUCCUGUCAACAGAGCCACAUGCUUUGGUUCAUAUACCAGAGCACUGCAUACUUGAGUUUGAUAUCAUAUCCCACUCCCAAAGUGUGUCGUGCAUAAUGUAAUGUAAACAAGUUUCAACUUUCAUCCAUUGUGGAUUGAAAUGUUUAAUUUGGGAGAAAAACUGGUUGAUUUGUAACAUUUGAGGGUGUUAAUGGUGAUUUUUCUUAUUAUUAAUUGUGAUUGAAAAGAAAGUUGAUGAACAAGGUGGAAGUAUAAGCAGAGAGUUCUGAGGACUCCUAAUGUGGUACAUUUUCUCAAGCAUAUUUCUUCCCCAAUAAAAAGGAAAACUUGGGUUCACUUGUGCGAUGGUUUUGGCAGUUGGCACUAACUGAUCAAUGAAAGAGAGAUCCAGGUUUAUCACUGAUGAAUUAAAAUGCUUUGUUAUUGUUGCUUAGUUAAAAAAGUUGCGGUUCAGUUUGCUAAUCUAUUGAUAUCUGUUGCAGUGAUUCUGCUGCUGAUGAACAUCAAAGACAAUCAAUAGGUGCAGGUGAUGCCAUCUCAUCUGCUCAAUCAUCUCAAGUAUUACAGCCUGCUCGCUCAGGGGCCAGGGGACGUGCUUCAAUGGCUGAUAUUGUGAGGAGGGGCAGACCAGGGACCAGGAGACAUGUUUCAAUGGCUGAUGUUGUAGGGAUGGGCGGACCUGGUGCCAAUACUUCCAGCCUGCCAAUUACGUCAACUGGAACUUCUCCCCCUCUUGUUGGGGCAGUACCAGAACAAUGUGGUGUGCCCAAUACUUCCAGCCCGCUAAUUACAUUAGAUGAAACUUGUUUCCCACCUCUUGGAAGAACACCAAAACGAUCCUCUUACCGUGUCACUACUCCCUUUGUUCUGCCACCAGUGGAGGCAGAACCACACCAAGAUUUGCAUUCUCCAAAUCCUUGGUAUGUGUUGGAGAUAAGUCAUGACUCAUGAGCCUUGCAUUACUGAUGAAUGGCCCACCACUGAUUAGCCAACAGCACAUAAUGGCUUUUUUAGGUGGCUCACCUGCCUUAGAAACAGAGAUAUUCUAACCCAUCUAACUUGUACAGUGAUACAGCUGAAAUGUCCCAGGACUGCCGGCCAGAUGAGGUCCAAGCAUCUGUAUCCAGUGAACAGUGGGCAGAGUAUAGCGCUGCAGGUGCGUCUUAUAGAGCUUGCCAACGAGACUGUAGUACAGGUUUAAAAAAGGUCAGGCGGUCUAGAAAGUUAAAAUGAAGGCGACCAUAGGUUAUGUCAAUACACAAGACCAUACAAACGGCCAUUGUUUCUAUAUUUUGUUAUUUGUUUUUAAUGUGAUUGGUUCCCUAGAAAAUCUGAUGUGACCCUGGUUCAUGAUGCCCAAAAUGGAAAUCAUGCGAGUCCAUGUGGAUGGGUCUAUAUUUAUCACUCUUUUGAAAAUUCAUCACCCAUCAAAAUGAUCAAAUUUCAUAAUCUAAGCUUGAAAAUACAUCUUAUCAUUUGCCUUCUCACUCUCAAAAAUUCAAAAUAAAAAAUUCCACAUAAUCAAUACAUUUUGGAUUUUAAUUAUUUUAAUCCAUUCUAUCUUCAUUAUCUAAGUCCAACUUCUACUGUCAGUAAAAGUAAAACUUCAUUUCAGGAAGAGAGAAAUUGAUAAGUUUUAACAAAUAAGUUUAAAUACAUUUUUUAUUUUUAUUUAAUUUAAAAUUUUAUAUAACAUACCAAAAUUUUAAAAUGUUUAUAUUAAAAAUAUAAUGACUUAAAAUUAUUUAAAAAAUGAGAUAUCAAAAAAAUUAUUAUCUUAAAUUUAAAAAAUUAAUGUAAUUUUUUUAUAAAAAAAAAAACAUAAUAUAAAAAAUAUAUAUUGGAGGAGCAGAAUAAUUGAGAGAGAAGCAACAAAACGUUAAGUACAAAGUGGGGAAAUGCAACUAAUGAAGUGGGUCCAAAAGGUUGAAAGAUAAGAGGAUACCUUAACAAUGUCAUUUGGGCAACAUUAAGUUAAUUGAUCCUAAUCAAUGCAAAAUACCAUGAAUCUAAAGUUCACAUCAUAGCAACAUAGAGAGGGAGUUCAAUUUCAAUACAAAAUACAAAAAGUGUAAAACUAGAUAUUAAUAUUAAGACAUCAUACUAAUUAAAUAAGUUUCAUUUUUGUCAAAAAAAUAUAUAUAUAUCUAGUUCCCAAAAAUAUCAAGGAAAAAAAUAUAAAAAAUAUUUUUCUUCAUAUUUGGUUUUACUAUGAUAAAUUCGAGAUAAAAUCAAAUAUAAUUGAAAUUUUAAAUAUUUUAAAUUAUUUAAUCUUUAUAUAAAAAUAAAGUUAAAAUAAGUGAAAUGACUUCAAAAUAAUAUAUAAAAAAUAAAAUUAAUUUAUUAGUUUUAAUCCUAUUUUUUAUUUUCAUUGGUUUUUUGUCUUUGGAUUUUUUUCUUCUUCAUUUUCUUUUUCUCAUAUUUUUCCUCAAUCAAACAUACCAAAAAAAAAAAAUUGUUUUAACUUUCAUUAAAAUUCAAAGUCUUAAUAAUACUUUCACAUUUUUUUUUAUUCAAAUUAGAAGAAAAUACAAAUAUUUGGAAUGCCUUUGAAAUAGUUUCCUAUUUUUCACUUUAACUAAAAGUUAAAAUUGAAUCAAAAUCAUAAUUUUUAAAAGAUAAUAUUGGUAUUAAAUAUAUGAAAGAGUUCUUAGCAUAAAUCAAAAUAAAGUUUUUACAAGGAACAACAAUUUUUUUAAUUUCUAUAUUAAAUUUCUUGUUAAGUGGUCAUAAGUUUUUUAAACGAAAAUAGUAAAAAAAAAAAAAAACAUAUGAUUGAUACCAAGAUAAAUUAUGAAUCCUUUAAAGUGAUCCACUACACUUUUUUGGGGUGGAAAUUCAGUCAUUAAUACAUGUACUUGAUCUGGGGGUGCCCUACAAUUCAAGUCAAUGAAUUUGGACAAAUCAAAUCAAUUUUUUUCCCAAUUGAUACCAAGGAAUAUCCAUAUGAUUCAAACAAUAUUUAUAUUGUUUGUUUGGAUUUUGCCUAAAGUAUUCAUGAAUGUGUCCAAAUAAUAUGCUUAUCAAUGGCACUACUAAUUUUUGCUUCCCUUUUUUUUUUUUUUUUUUUUUCAUUUUUUGUUUGUUUUGAAUUGGUACUUCCUUUCUCAUUCAUUCUACAUUCUUUUUUUUAAAAACAUUUGUCUCUUUUGCAUACAUCCUAAAAAGCCCAAAGUGUCUUUAUUAUUAUUAUUAUUAUUUUUAAAAAAAGAACUUAAUAAAAUCUUUUGCUUCAAUUUAUCUUAAAAUGAAAAUAAAAAAUAAAAUUUUAUUAUUAAAGUUUUAUUUUGAUUUAUAGAUAAAGCUAUUUCAUAUUUUAUAAAUCUCUUCCUAUAUUCAUUUUGUUCUUUGCAAAUUAUAAUUUCACUCACUUCAACUUUGAAAAAAAAAAAAAUUAUAGCAAAUUAUGUUUUAAUCCGCUUUCCAAUUGGAAAAUACUAAUAAUGCAACCCAUAUCUGUCUAAACUUAGUGCAUAUAAUAUUACUUUUCAAUGGACUUGAAAAAUAUUUAAAAACCAACAACUCCAAAGUCAAUUAUCUCAAUUAUGGAGUGUAAUGGUUUCCAAAAGAUUAAAGCAAGUGUGAAGAUCCCUAUAAUGUUUUUGAGUGUAAUGGUGUUUCCAAAAGAUAUAAGUAAGGAUGAAAAUAUCGGUAAUCAUGAAUAUAUCGGUAUUUUGAUUUUACGGAUAUAUCGGUGGGUAUUUUGACAUAAAAUAUCAGUAGACCUAAAAUUGACUAAAACUUAUAAAAAUAUAAAAUAAAACUUUUAGAAAUGAAAUUAAAAGUACAAUAGACAUUUUAAAAUUAUUUUUGUUGAAUAAAUUAAUGUAUAUAUAUAAAAUAAAACUUUUAGAAAUGAAAUUAAAAGUAUAAUAGACAUUUUACAGUUAUUUUGUUGAAUAAAUUAAUAUAUAUAAAAUAUUGUACGUGUCAAUAAAAAAUAUAAAUUUGAUAAGUAUAUAUUGAUUAUUAAAUUAUAUCAAAUAUUAUUUGGUGAUUAUAUUGUGAUAUUUGAUUAUAAUAUAUUUCGGUGGAUAUUUUGACACAAAAUAUAUGUAGACUUAAACUUGAUCAAAACUUAUAAAAAUAUAAAAUAAAACUCUUAGAAAUGAAAUUAAAAGCAUAAUAGACAUUUAAAUUUUUUUUUAAAUAUAUAUAUAUAUAUAUAUAUAUAUAUAAUAUUGUACAUGUUAAUAAAAAAAAUAUAAAUUUGAUAAAUGUACAUUGAUUUUUAAAUUAUAUAAAAUAAUAUUUGAUGAUAAUAUUGUGAUAUGUAAUUAUAAUAUGUUUAAUUUUAAAAUCUAUUUAAUAUUAAAAUUAUGAUAUAUUAUAAAAUAAAUGUAUAAAAUUUUAAUAUAUUAAUAAUAUUAAAAACACCAUGAAUAAAAUUAUGAUAUAUUUUUACUAAUCAAUUAAAUGAAAAAAUUUCAUUAAAUUAUAAAAUAGUUAUAAUUAAUUUGUUAUUUAAAGUGUUUUUUUUUAAUAUUUUAUUUAUAUCAUAACUUUUGAUAUAUAUUUCUUUAGUGCAUAUUACAUAUCAAAGGGCAAGUUUGCCUUAGUGGAGCCGGGGAUGCAUGUUGAACCUUCGAAUCUCCCUAAUAGCAACAAAAAAAAGCUCAAUUUUGAGCUUUGAUUGCGUUGAGCAGCCGUUGACCACCGAUAUAUCCAUGCUAUAUAUCGUUUCGCCACCCGCCGACACACCGAUAUUUCAACAAUAUUUUCUUCCCUGGAUAUGAGCAAGUAUGAUUUUCCUUAAAAUGUUUUUCACAAUUUUUUUAUAUGAUUAUUUAAGUUGCCUACCAAUAAAUCUUUUUCUAAUUUUUGUAUGAAUUGAAUAUUAUUAUUUUUUUUUAAAAAUAAGAAGUAUGUUUAAUAAUUAAUUUUUCUAAGUAAUAAUAAUGACCAACAACCUUUUAGACCUAGUUUUUCAAUCAACUUAUUUAUUUCAUAGGUAUAAAAUAUGGAGAAGUAAAAUAUAUGUAUUGAUGGAUCAAUUAAAGGGAGGGUUAAACCUACUAAGACACUACCCACCUCACUGGAGAAUGGAAAAUUGAACGGUUAUAAAUACAUCAUCAUUUCCCAUUUUUCACAAAAAUGUUGCUCCAUGUCCUCUUAUCAAUUUCACUUCAAUUAUCCUCAAAAAAAUCACUUCACAACUUCAAAGAUUUGUUAGCAAAAUUGAAAAAGUACUAACAUGUCACUUGAGUAAAAAAAGACAUGAUUCCUAUGCAAAAAAUGAAACAUAUGUGUGGACCCCGUAUUUCGACUCAUGCGUUCCCCACUCGGUGGCGAAACUCACUUUUAAUUUUAUUCAGUGAAAAUUUGAUUUUUGGGGAAAAGACUUGGAGUCGCCAUUUUGUGGACCCUGCAUUUCAACUCAUGCGUUCCCCACUCAAUGGCGAAACUCACUUUUAAUUUUAUUCGGUGAAAAUUUGAUUUUUGGGGAAAAGACUUGAAGUCGCCACUUACUUUUGUUUUAUUUUUAAAAGGGUAAACAAAAUAAGAAAGAAAACCCUGAGUGUGACUCCUCAUUUUGGAAAAGAUGGUCUGCGAAAAACCGGAUCGGGCUCGAGGGUCAGAUUACUUAUUGGGAAGGUAUGGUAAAGACUGUAGCACGCCUCUAAGUCCCUAAAGUUGGGGUCUCUACUAAUAGAAUGAAGCCGACAUGGCAAUCAAUAAGAAAGUCAAUGGAUACCUAAGUCAAAUCAUGCACAUAUGGGAAUCGGAACAUGCAUAGAGAAUGAUCCGAAUGAAAGUGUAUGCGUACCUGGGUCACGAGCCACAAUGCAUUGUAUUUGCUCCUCUCAGUGCGAUUUUCUCCGUGCGUUUUUCCCUAUCCCCUCACUAGCUCCCUCUGGUAUCCUUUUCCCUCUUUUUUUUUAGCUUGCUCUCUAAGCUAACGAAAACCUCACUCUGUCACCUUUCACUCAGCCGUCCUCCCUAUUCCAUCUUGUCACCCCAUGCCCUCUUUGGUAGAGUUCACGAGUGCAAUGAACAUGAACACUGAAGUGAAAAGAGAGUGUGAAUAGUGAGUGAAAUGAAGUGAACUCUACCGAAGAACCCAGGAGACCCCCACAACGACACUAGUGAAACACGAACUCAUUAAAACUAACAGACAAACACGAAGGCUCUAACCCUGAGAGAAGAUGAUGUUCAAAAUGUCUCGGAAGCCACACUGAGGACCUAGGCUCCCUCUAAGACGCCUCCAAAAGAGGCUUGAAGAACCAUAUCAAAGAUGAGUAAUGGUUGAACCACUCUGAAGUAUAGAAAAGACUAUGCCCAAAGGAGACUGCCAUAUGCGAACUACAUAAAAAUGACAAGUGUAUGGUGCCUAACGACAUGACUGAAGUAGGUGUCGUGAACUCAAAGGACUGUGUCAUGAGCAAUGAAAAAGGGAAUCUGGAAGAGUGAUGGCAAGUAGGCGAUAAGCACACGAUAACAAGGUAAGAAAAAUGAGAACAUAUGCAAACCCAUGAAGGCAAGAUGUGUAAUGCCAAUGAACAUGAAUGCCAGGGACUCUGACUCUGAAUGAUAUAACUGAGGAGAAAUGACUCUGCAUAUCAAAACAAAGAGAGAUGGUGACUCAUGGUGCAUGAAUGAAUAUGUACAAUGGCUCUGAACACCAAAAUUGAGAAGCGAUGAUGGCUUUGAAUGCCAAAACUGAGAAUGAUGAUGGCUCUGAACGCCAAAACUGAAAAUGGUGAUGGCUCUGAACGCUAAAGCUGAUAAGCGAUGAUGGCUUUGAACGCCAAAACUGAGAAUGAUGAUGGCUCUGAAUUCCAAAACUAAAAAUGGUGAUGGCUGUGAACGUUAAAAUUGAAAAUGGUGAUGGCUUUGAACGCCAAAACUAAGAAUGAUGAUGACUUUGAACGCCAAAGCUGAGAAGCGAUGAUGGCUUUGAACGCCAAAAUUGAGAAUGAUGAAGGCUCUGAAAGCCAAAACUGAAAAUGGUGAUGGCUGUGAACGCCAAAACUGAAAAUGGUGAUGGCUUUGAAAGCCAAAACUGAGAAUGAUGAUGGCUCUGAACGCCAAAGCUGAGAAGCGAUGAUGGCUUUGAACGUCAAACUGAGAAAUGUCGAUGGCUCUGAAUGUUGAAACUAAGAGAUGAUAAUGGCUCUGAAUGCCGAGAUUAAGAAACAAUGAUGGCUCCGAACGCCAAACUGAAGAUGUUGAUGGCUCUGAACGCCAAGACUGAGAAGAAAUAGGGGCUCUGAACGCCAAAUGGAAAAUGCUGAUGGCUCUGAGCGCCGAGACUGAGAAGAAAUAGUGGCUUUGAAAGCCAAAUGGAAAAUACUGAUGGCUCUGAACACCGAACUGAAAAGAAAUGAUGGCUCUGAACGCCAAAUGGAAAAUGUUGAUGGCUCUGAAUGCCAAGACUAAGAAGAAAUAGUGGCUCUGAAAACCAAAUGGAAAAUAUUGAUGGCUCUGAAUGUCGAACUGAGAAGAAACAAUGACUUUGAACGCCAAAUGGAAAAUGCCGAUGGCUCUGAACGCCGAGACUGAGAAGAAAUAGUGGCUUUGAAUGCCAAAUGGAAAAUCCUGAUGGCUCUAAACGCCGAGACUAAGAAGAAAUAGUGGUUCUGAACGCCAAAUGGAAAAUGUUGAUGGCUCUGAAUGCCAAGACUAAGAAUGAACAAUGGCUUUGAACGCCAAAAUGAAAACGUGGCUUCGAACGCCAAAUGGGAACAAUAGCUACUAAUGCUAAGCGAAAAUAGUGGCUUAGAAUGCUAAACUAAACUGAAUAACCAUAAGCGUCAAACUGAGAAAGACGACGCUGACCAUCGUAACUAAGAAGACAUAGUGGCUCUAAAUGCCGAACUGCAAGGGAAUGAUGGGGGGAAAAUAUGCCCCAGUGUAGCGGGUCACCAAAAACCCUCAAUCCAUCAGAAAAGUCGGAAAGAGACUCCGUAAGUCUCGAAAAAAUGCUUGGCCAAUGUGUCGGGGUGAUAAAAUCGAAUGAUCCUUUAAGGAGCCUUCAGAAAAAUGAUCUGAUAGGGUAACUAACGCGAUCUGAAGAAUCACGGAUAGCAAGACAAUCACAACCCGAACGUCCUACUCUACUGAAAGCUCAUCUCGAAGAAUCACGGAUAGUGACUAGUAAAGCAGAUAUAAUAUCUCUUGGCCAAGUGAUGAGAACCGCAACAAACUUGUGAGAGAACGAUCAUCUCCAUAUCCAAAUGAGGGAAAUAUGCCCACGUAUGGCGUCAAAUGUAUCCGAUCUGUCCUGAUGACUCAUGAGUAACUCAAUGGGGACGCGUCGCAGAUCUGACAUGUGCUCCAACGAAAUGAUGAAGUGAGAGUCCAUGAGCCUGAGAUGACUCCAUCCAAAAAUCACAAUGACAUCGGAAACUAUAAACAUGAUGAAACGACUCAAGGGAAGGUCCUUCGAAGAGUCAUGACAAAAUGAAACAAGAUCAUCAACCCGAUGUGUAUCUCGUAACUAGGGAUAAUGACGCAAACCAGAAGGGAUCUACGAAUCUCAAUCAAAGACGGAAAUAUGCCCCAGUAUGGCAUCAAAUGUGUGACAAGUAGGGAAAAUCAAAUGACAUCGAAUCAAGCAUCAACAGAUAUGUAAUCUUGGUCAUUUGAAUCCAUAACUGAAUCAUACCCACUGAUCAAAGAUGUGUCUUUCGGAAGGAAGCAUGAUGAUGGCAUCUGAGUGCUGAGAAAUGCGUGCCUAACUGGAUGGCUCCCAAGAGGCUCCACUAAGAAAUCAUCGUAAAAAUAGUGAUCGGACGAUCAUCUCGAUGAGUAUCCCGUUAGUGGGAAUGAUCACAUAACUCCACGAAGAUCAGUAAACCUCAUCCGAAAUGGAAAUAUGCCCCAGUAUGACAUCAAAUGUACAAUAGGUCGAAAUCGGGUGACAUGAAAUCAUCCAUCAUCAAAUAUGCGAUCUCCAUAAUCCAAAUCAAAUCCAAACAUCUAGGGAACGUCUCUCGAAAUAAAAAGCAUGAAAACAACCCGAUACCGAGAAAUGUGGACCUAGAUGAAUGGCUCCACUGGGGCUCCACUAAAGAAUCAUCAUAAAAAUAACGACAACGUCAUCAUCUCAACGCAUAUCCCGCAAGUGGGGAUAAACACGCAACUUCGUGAAGAUCGGCAAAUCUCAUCUAGAACGGAAAUAUGCCCUAGUAUGGCAUCAGAUGUAUAGUAGGUCUGGCUGAAUGGCCCUAAAGAGGCUCAACUGAAGGAUUGUCAUAAAAUAAUGACCACGCCAUCAUCUCAGCGCAUAUAUCGUGAAUGGGGAUAAGCAUGCAAACUCGUGAGGAUCUGUAAAAUCAUAUCUGAAACGGAAAUAUGCCCCAGUAUGGCAUCGAAUGUGUGACAAAUCAGAAAAGGUUAGGUGUCGUCAAAUCAUCCCUCGUCAAAUGAGUGAUCCCGGUAAUCCAAACACAACCGAAACAAAUCUAAACAUCAGAAAGGUGUCUCCCAGAAGAAGAAGCAUGACAGUAUCUAAAUGGCAACUAGAGCCCAAACACCUGUCCAAGUAGAGGCUGUCGAAGACGACAUCUGAUCCCAUGGCCUCAGGGUGGUCUUAAGACACGGGACGUAACGUAGGCUAGGGUGAUAAGGUAAUAGAAAUGAAAGGAAACGAGACCUAAAUACCCAAUGAUCAAAACUCAUGCCCUCAAGUAUAAAAUGCAAUAUGUGUGGAAAAGCUCGUGAGCCAUGAACCUGAAUGUGCCCAAUGUGAAUGUGAUAUCAAUAACAAGGUGGUGAAGAAAAAUGAUCUGAUAGAUGGAUGUGUAAGAACGAUGCACGUGAAGUGUCAAACUGAGAAUAAAAAGGCGUGGUAAGAAAAAUAAAAUGGCAAGAGGUGAGAUGAGGAUGAUGAAUCAAAAGCGAAAACAAGAAUGAUGAUGAAAUACGUAAUACAAAGGGGAGCAGUGAUCAACUCAAAUCAGACAUGGAGUGAACUCACAUCAACAAUGAAUGUAAUGAUGGAUAGGACAAUGACCCGGAGUCCCUAGGAGAAGGCCACUCAUCUCGCUCUCAAAACAUACGACAAAAAUGAAUACAAAGAAUGAAAGGUCUUGAGAAGCUCACAUACGAACUCUCAUCAAUAAACAUACUCGAUACAAUGACCUUUGAACAUCAACAUACACGCCCAACGAUGGAGAAUACUAUGCACAUACACAUGCAUGCUUAUUUUUUCUUUCUUUUCAUUUUUUUUUUUUUUACAUAUAUACAAAGGCACAUACCUUGAACAUAGACAAAUGAACCCCAAAGAUGAUAGCAAUAAUGAAUAGACACGCUCCCAAGUGCUAAGGUAACAAAAAUCUCUCUCUGAUAAGAUGACCUUCUCAAACUAAGGAUCUCUAACUCAAUGUCCGCAUGAUAAAUAGUGGAAAUGAUGUGACUAUCCCCCAUGUAAUGAAUUGAGGAGGAUCACCACUCGGGGUGGAGAGAAUAUGAAGCAAAACAAGUAAAUAGAAUAAAGAAUGAGAGAUGAAAAACACAACUAAUGAGAUAUGAAGGAAUGCAGUAGCGCGGUGGUAGGAAAAAAAAUAAUGAGAGAAAGAUGCACCUGUAGGUCCAAGACUCAUGAGGCUUCCAAACAAUGCAUGCAUACACUAAAUGGCCCCAAUCCCGGUGUAAAAAUGUGAGGAAGGCGAUAAGAUAGAAAUGCUAGAAUGCAUACGCGAGGCUCAAUGGGCUAGCAACGGUUCAUAUGUCAAAAAAGGAAUAACAAGGUAUAUAGCUAACCGAAAUGAUGGCCACCCAUUCUGCGACCAUGGUCUCAAACAUAGUACCUCUUUAGCUGGUCCACGUUGGUAGGCUCCGAGAAUCGGUUUCCAUCUAGAUCCAUCAACCAUGCAGCGCCCUCUGGGGUCAACUCCCUGAUGAAGUAAGGUCGGCUCCAAUUGGGUCUGAACUUCCCUCUAGGAUCUCUGAUCAAUCCUCUGAUGACCUUCAGAACCAAGUCGCCUGUCCAUAGUGGUCUGGGCUUAACCCGCUUUUUGAAAGCGCGGACCAUCUUUCUUUGAUAUGCAUGAACAUGAUCGGCUGCCCUUAAUCUCCUCUCAUCUAAGAGAUUGAGUUGAUCAAAUCGAGCCUGAACCCAAUCUGCCUCAGGAAUCUGCUGCUCCAAUGCUACUCUCAAUGAACCCAUCUCAAUCUCAACUGGUAGCACUACCUCCAUACCAUACACUAAUGAAUAGGGUGUGACCCCUAUAGAGGUGCGAAAAGAAGUCUGAUAAGCCAACAAUGUGAAAGGGAGCUUCUCUGACCAAUCUUGAGAAGUCUCAACCAUCUUUCGCAAGAUCCUCUUAAUAUUCUUAUUCGCGGCCUCUACUGCCCCAUUCGUCUGCGGCCUGUACGCAAACGACCUACGAUGUCAGAUGCCAUAUCUCUAUACUAAGGUGUCAACCUCUGCUCUGAAAUGUACUCCUCUAUCCGAAAUCAGCUCAUGAGGGACUCCGUAACGACAAAUAAUAUGUGAUCUAAUGAAACUGGUGACUUCGGCUGAUGUCAAUCUCGCAUAUGAAGCGGCAUCCACCCACUUGGUGAAGUAAUCGAUGGCGACCAAGAUGAACUCAUGACCACUAGAAGAUUUCGGUGAAGUCUUCCCGAUGAUGUCGAUACCCCAUACUGAAAAUGGUCAUGGUGACGUCAAUGCAUGUAACUCCGAGGGUGGCACGUGAAUAAGAUCUCCGUGUAUCUGACACUCUGGACAUCUCUGAACGAACUGGCAACAAUCCGUCUCCAUAGUCAACUAGAAGUAGCUAGUCCUCAUGAUCUUACGAGCCAACAUAUGUCCUCCCAUAUGUGGUCCGCAGACUCUCGUAUGAACCUCCCUCAUCACUCGAUCGGUCGAGGCGCGGUCUAAACACAAUAAUAGUAUCCCAUCAGGUGAUCGUCGGUACAAUGUCUCACCACAAAUCAUGAAUCGAGCUGCCAACUAUCUCAACGCUCUCUUAUCCUUGGUCGUGACGGCCUUAGGAUAUACACCAAGUGUCAGAAAGUGAUAUAUAUCGUGGUACCAUGGCAAACCAUCAUUUGGCUCUGUAUCAUCAAUCAAACAACAAUAGGUGGGAUUAGAUCUCGACUAAAUCAUCAAAGGGUGAACAAUGGCAUUGACAGGAAUAUCGAUCAUGGAAGCUAGAGCAGUUAAGGCAUCAGCAAACUAGUUCUGCGCUCUAGGCAGAUGUGUGUAUCUCAAAUCAUCAAAUCUCCCGACCAAUAGCUCCAAAUAUGCGUGGUAAGGCCCAAGCUUCACAUCUCUAGUCUUCCACUCGCCCUGAAUCUGUCUCAAUACCAAAUUGGAGUCACCAAACACCUCCAUUUACUAUAUCUCCAACCUUAGCGAAUGUCCCGUGCUCGUCGAUCUCAUCUGGGAAAUAGAGCGUCAUAAGGCUCAUGCGAUCGGGGGAUGAAGGGGCGGUCAAUGCAGAUGUGGAGGUGCCCAGAGGUUCGUCACUCAAAAGUAACUGGCGGAUAAGGCGCUGAAGCUCGGCCUCCUGGGUAAUGCUAAGCCCUCCAAUAAUCCCGUAUGAUUGGGUCGGUGGCUCCGAUGCCCUCACAAAAUAAUCUGCUAGGCUCAUGGUGUACGAGCGAACGGGAUAAUCGAAAGGUGUGUGAGUCAGUCGAGCUCUCACCCGCUCCCUGUGCAGUCGUGCCAUAUAUCUGUAGUCAGCCUCAAUAGGGACGAACUCGAGUCCGAAAGGUACAUCAUGAUCAGGAAUGGUCAUGAACUCGCUAGGCCCAUGCUGACGCCGCUCCAACCCCAUGCCGGGAAGAUAGGACAUGCCCCUCAUCAUAUUAAGCACCACUGUGCUCCCAUGCUGGUCAAAGGACAUAGCCACAAAGUCUCGAUAGAAGUCCUCCAUCUCAAGGGUCUGCACCUCGUCAAAAGUGAACUCGGUCAGCAGUAAGUCGUCGUCGCUAUGGUUGAUCUGGAGCAUUGGCUCAGCAGAAAUAAACAUGUCUCUUACAGACUGUACUGUGACAAUCUGUCCCUCAUGGAUGAAUUUCACUUUUUGAUGAAGUGAAGAAGGCAUGGCUCCGACUCGGUGAAUCCAAGGUUGGCCCAAAAGUAGGUUAAAGGAUGCAAGAAUCCUCAAAACCUGAAAUACGGUGACGAACGUGGUCGGACCUAUUAGGAGCUCAAUCUCAAGUGUACCCAUAACCUCCCUCCAAGUGUUGUCAUACGCUCGAACGGUCUGAGUGGAGGGAUCGAAAUCAGAGGGUGCAUAUCCAAGAGCGAUGGCGGUGGCCAGAGGACAGACGUUUAGGGCCGAGCCAUUGUCCAGAAGGACAAAUGGAACUCGGCGACCUGAACAACCAAUAGAAAUGUAGAGAGGACGUGUGUGGUCUGAGCUCUCCGAUGGCAAGUCAUCGUCAGAAAAUAUGAUGCAAGUGGCUCUGCCAACCAUCAUCAUGUGAAUCAGUUCCUCAGGGGUGGUCGUAGUAUUGACCCUAAUCUGGCUCAAAGCUCGAGUCAAGGCAUCUAGAUGAGUACUGGAAGAUGCUAGCAAACUCCAGAUGGAAAUACGAGCCUGAGUGCUCUGCCUCAAAAUCUCAUCAUCCUCUCUCCUGACCUCCUCCUAGGAUGACGUACCCUCUAAGGGUCUAGCGGCUGCAGGGGGCUGUUGGCGUACCACCUUACCUCCGCAGAUGACAUACUGUACAUCUGAAGUGUGAACAUCAUCGACAUACGGAGUCUGGGAAACAUCAACAUAUUGAGUCUGAACCUAAACAACAUCCAGAAUCAAAAGAAACGGAGUCCGAACACUGUAAUGUGGGAAAGUCAAUGGCUCGAUAAUGGUCGUCUGUACCAAUGUCAUCUCAAGGGUCAGCCUGAAUGGUGUGGACAUCCAAGGGCCCAAAGUCACUCUACCUAUCUCAUGAAUCUCGUCUGACACUAUAGGCUCUGGCUCUGGCUCAUCCCAACUCAACAUGUGGAUGUGAUUGUCAAGCUCAGCGAAGUCGAUGGAGUGCAUGCUAUCGGUCGGAGGAGGAACCGCAUGCGCGGUGUGGGCCGGUAGUGGGUUUUGGGUUACACUCAACUGACCCAAGUGAACCAAACCCUGAUCGAUCAAAUCCUGAACAACAUGCCUCAGAGUUGUGCAUCGAUCAAUCUCAUGUCCAAGCCCCUGAUGAUAGGCACAAUGUAAAUCCAUCCUGAACUGAGGAGGAAGAGGCUGAGGUGGUGGCCUCAGGGUAAGAACAGUCAAUAAUUCGGCCUCUAUGAGCUUCCAAAGAGCCUGGCUCAAUGGCAUGCUUAUCUGGGAGAAUUGUCUUUACGUCCUCAAAGAAAAUGGAGUAGAGGUCUGCUGAGCUCUGGGCUUGUGGUAAGAAGUAACGGGUGUCGCAGUGAAUUGUGCAGCGUAGCAUGGCUGUCUGGUGGCUGUAUAAGAAAUAGGAGGCUUCUCGAUGCCCUGAGUGGUAUAAUAAGGCAGAGCUAGUGUCUGAGGUUGGUAUGUCUAAUCAUAAGUCAGGCGAGGUGCCUGUGGCCUGUACUGCUGAGGCGUGUAAGAUGAACGAGCCUCGGGAAGCUGUGGGAUCGGCUGAUGGCGCCUAGGAGGCCUCUGACUAGAAGAACCAAUGACUCCCACAUCCACUGAUCUCUGUCCUCCAAAAGGUUUCUUCCCCUUGACAUCACUAGGGGAAGAAUCUGCCCACAAACCUCUCGAGAUGCCAUCCUCGACAUCGUAUAAUGCUAAGCCCAGAGAACCAAAAUCUACAAAAGGCACCCUGACCACAUGUCUGGCGAUCCUUGGCCGUAAGCUCUUCAGAACCACCUGUAUAUGAUCUCUAUCUGAUGGUCUAUCCACUAUCUCGGCUAUCUUCUCGUGCCAGCGGGAGAUGAACUAUGAAACAGACUCUUUUGCCCUCUGUCUUAGAGCCUCAAGCUCUCUCCUCAAUACAUCUACGACAGUGUUAAAUGAAAACUGUUGUAGGAACUCUUGGGCCAAGUCGUCCCAUGUCCGGCGUCGUGAGGACUCUAAAGAUGCGAACCAUGGCUGGGACGCCCCACUAAGAGAUAGCGGGAAUAAAGUGAUCAUCUGAGGCUUGUCCAAUCCAUGAGCCCUCAUCACUGUGCUAUAGAGUCGGAGGUGAAUGCAAGGACAACCAAUACUUAUGUACCUCUCAAUAUCCGACAUCCUGAACUUAGCCGGCAAACUGGCUACCGGCAUACCCUCAAGAUCAUCCCAAACAACGGAGCCAUCAAAUACCCUCAUCUGUCUCAUGUGCUACUCAAUACGGUCCAUGCGCGCAUGAGCGUCGCCAACAAUAGUGGCCUGGAUGACUGCGGGCGGAACAACCUCAGAAUGACUGUGUAGCACAUAAGGUGAAGCUUGAGGCACCGAAGGAACAGGUGGUGGCGGUGGAGGUGGCAACGAGUCAUGCAGCGUCUCAUCCUAAACUAUGGGCGGUCUACUUUGCUGACUGCCUAUCUCCUGCCUAAGACUGGCCAAGGCCUCCUGAAUAGAAGCCAUGGUGGCCAUAAAUUGGUCAACUGUGACGACCUGCUGAUCCAUGUCUAAUAUCUCUGAAAAUCGGACUAAUCUCCCCUCUACUCUGACCCAAUGAGGUAAGUCUAGAUUGAUAAGAAAGGUCUGAUCCUGAAAGUCUCCUCAUUUGCUCUGAUCCACGAAGCUAUAUCCAGGCUGAGAACAAAGGUCUGAUCCUACAAAGCACGAAGAACGUAAUAAGGAUACGACUCAGAGAAAGCAUGGAAGAAGUGGUAAUCUGAACGGAAACAAGUAAGCAUCCAAGUGAAGACGGACUGUCCGACCGUACUCAAACUCGUCCUGAUCUCGAUACACUCUCAAUCGGAGACUAAAAAGAGGGAAAAUCGGAUCCAAAUUAUAGCUAUAGAGGCUCUGAAGGCCCUUAGAUGCACCCACGUGUAAGGAGGGAGUCCUAGUCGAAGGAUCUACGGCUCAACCUACAAGGUAGAAGUGACUUUAAGAGGAUAAGGGUGGACUUUAAAAAAUCCCUAGCAGAAGCGAUCAUACCUUCCGGCGGUAUGCAACCCUCUGUACGCCUCAAAAGAAACGGGACGCUUCCAUGCAAGGUGGUUAUCACCUCCACACAUGCACUACCUCGACAUCUUAGGGGGGUUUCCUAUGGUAGAACUUCUCAAACUCUCAACACUCAAUGGUCAACUAGAGUGCACAGUGUGCUGUGUGGGUGCAUCUGAAAACCCUAUGAAGCUAAAAUGAAAAGGGAGACACUGGCCGCACAAAUAUCCAUGAAAUCUAGCUCCGAGCUAAACAAGUCUUCAAUGAUCGGACUCCAAUCGUCAUCAAUGUGUCGCUCUCUUCCAGAAUACUCCCAAACAUCGGUAUAGCCUGUCGCUGGACCCUACUCCUAACCUUUAGCUCAGUCAGAAUACAAGCACACACAAGGCCUCACACUUGCAAAAGUGAGAACCAAAAUAAAGGAAAUGACCGAAACCAGAGGGUGGGAGGUAAGAGGAUAAAUGUGCUACCCACACAAACAAGUGACAUGCAAUCAUGCAGAGAAGGGCAGUCAUGCGACAUGUAAUCAGGCAGAGUACAGGAUAUAUCACUCAUGUGCACAUACAAGCUAUGACAAUAAAAUGAAUAGUGAUAAAAACAGUAUGCUCAAGGAUGAUCAAGAUAAUAUACAAACAAAUGGAUCAACGUGUCGAGUCAAAUAAUAUACAGUGGCAAGUGUAUGCAUGUGAGGUGAUCAGGGUAAUCAUGGCAAAAUCAGAGUAUAUAUGCUAAGCAAUACAAGAUGAUCAAUCAGUAUAAUCAACAAUGUCGAUGUCUCAAACAAUAUAGCAAUGAAUCACAAAAGGAAUAGCUAUCUCAGAAUCCUCAAUCAAGACAAAUCAGUCAUCAUAAUCAGCAUAUCAACAUCUCAAACGGAUACAAUAUACGAGCAUGCAUAAAAAACUCUCAAUGUGCAAUCAAGAGAUGGGCAUCCAUUGAUCGGCCAAUCAAAUGCCACGUUCGCUUCAUCCUAGGUUCAAGCUUGACCCUCUAAAUCUUCCCCAGUGGAGUCGCUAUUUUAUGGACCCCGCAUUUCAACUCAUGCGUUCCCUACUUGGUGGCGAAACUCACUUUUAAUUUUAUUCGGUGAAAAUUUGAUUUUUGGGGAAAAGACUUGGAGUCGCCAUUUUGUGAACCCCGCAUUUCGACUCAUGCGUUCCCCACUCGGUGGAGAAACUCACUUUUAAUUUUAUUCUGUGAAAAUUUGAUUUUUGGGGAAAAGACUUAGAGUCGCCACUUACUUUUGUUUUAUUUUUAAAAGGGAAAACAAAAUAAGAAAGAAAACCUUGAGUGUGACUCCUCAUUUUGGAAAAGAUGGUCUUGGAAAAACCGGAUCGGGCUCGGGGGUCAGAUUACUUAUCGGGAAGGUAUGGUAAAGACCGUAGCACCCUUCUAAGUCCCUAAAGUCAGGUCUCUACUAAUAGAAUGAAGCCAACAUGGCAAUCAAUAAGAAAGUCAAUGGAUACCUAAGUCAAAUCAUGCACAUAUGGGAAUCGAAACAUGCAUAGAGAAUGAUCCGAAUGAAAGUGUAUGCGUACUUGGGUCACGAGCCACAAUGCGCUGUAUCUGCUCCUCUUAGUGCGAUCUUCUCCGUGCGUUUUUCCCUAUCCCUUCACUAGCUCUCUCUGGUAUCAUUUUUCCUCUUUUUUUUUAGCUUGCUCUCUAAGCCAACGAAAACCUCACUCUGUCACCUUUCACUCAGUCGUCCUCCCUAUCCCAUCUUGUCACCCCAUGCCGCCUUCAUUUCGGGUUCGUCAAAAGAGUAAUCAUAAUAAAAUGGCCAAAUUUCUCAUCUCUCAGGAAGGGGUCUACAAUAUGCCAUAUUUAUCAUCUAAAUUAUGUACUUUUUUGAAUAGUAAUUACAUGUUACACUAGGUAGAAUCAUGUUAACAUAUUAAAUGGAUUAGAAUUGUGUUAAUUGGUUUAAUGAAUGUUAAUAGGUUUAAUAGGUUAGAAUCAAAUUAACGGGGGUUACCUAUAUCAAUUCAUAUAGAGGUCAACUUAACCUAUUUAUUAAAUUAGUUAUGUUUAUAUCAAGUCAUUUUAACAUGAUGUUUAAACAAAUCAUAUUCCAAUUGAGUAAACUUUCACUAGUUUUUAUCUUGAUACAAUACAAAUCUAACAUAAUAUGACCCAUUGUCACCCUAGUUAAGGAGCAUAAGAGUGUUGCAUCAAGGAAGUGGAAGAAAAGCAUAGUGAUAUAAAACUUUAGGGAGUGGAAGCAUUUAAUCAAGUAAAGUUGUGUAACUUUUUUUUUUUUUCAUAAGUAGUGGAUUAUUCAAUUGUCAAGAGACCAACCAUAGUUUUUUUUUUUAUACCUAGGGAUUUCUAGGUGCUUUCCACAUUAAACUCUAUGUCAAAUUGUGUAAUCGGAAAUCUCAUGCAUGAGAUUGAUAAGAUAUUGAUGAUAAUUGAGUUGGAAUAAAAUAAUUUAACUUUGAGGGGUUAAUUGCUUGGAUUACCUAUUUACCCCUCCUUCAAGAAGUUCCAUAUCAAGAAAAAAAUUAUUUCAACAUAUAUAUAGAUAUUUUAUAUUUUCUAAUUUUAAAUUAAUUUUUAUGUUGGGAAAUUGAAUGAGGGAAUAGUUGGCUCAAUUUUUCAAGCUUGGCAAAAAAAUUUGUUGUUAACAUGUUAUUUUACCUUAUUUUAUACAUUUUUUUUGGAAUAAAAAUAUAUAAUCAACUACUCUUGUAUGAUUGAUUUAGAUGUUAGAAAAGGUUACAACCAUUAAUUCUAUUAAUUGACCAACAAUUUUUUAUAAACUUUAAGUUGCUAGCAUUCAUAUAUUAUCCUAAAAUUAUUAAUUAUAAUUUUAUUUAAGUUGAACCACAAAUCUUGGGUAAAUGAUGAAGUAUUUGUUAACAAGAUACUUGUUUAAUUAUAUUGGAAGUUUUUAGUUUGAUUUGUUGUUGUUGAAUUCAAAUUCCUAGAAGCUAGCUUUGAGGACUAGAUAGUUGUCUUGGUUUUUGUUAUAAGUUUGAUUUUUAUAUUGUUUUCAAACAUGAUGUGUAAAAUGUUAAUGGUAAUGAUGUUGAAACAUAGCUAAUGCUACUAGAAGAAUGUUGUAAAGAGUGCCUUUGGUGAGUUGGAUCGGGGGGGAAAGCUCCAUGACAAGCUCCAUUUAUUACAAAGGAUUCCUUCACAAACUCUCUUUGUAUGUUAUUAAGUUGUGAGUAGAAUUAUUGAAGUUGUAUAAACAAGUGGCAAUCUUGAUACGUCAUAAUGACACCAUUCGAAAAUUAUAUAAAUCUUAGCAGGUCUAAAGGUAUUUGUAAAACACAUUUGUAUUGCCUAAUUAUGGUCUUAUUGGAGAAUGAGUUAUUAUCAAUUUCAUGGAACAAAACUUUCAUUAGUCAAUAUUAUUUGAAGGUGAAAUCUUACUCAUAAAAUUUUUCAAUUAAAUUUAAAAGUUAAAAUUAUAAAGUAGAGAGUUAAAAUAACCAUUGAGCAUAGUUUAAAAUUUGAAUAUAAUGUGUUUAUUAUUGUAAUUCAAGCCCAAUAUUUAUUAUUUAUUAUUAAAAAUAUAAUUUAUAUUUAAGAUAAUUUAGCACAUUUGAACAAUGCUUUGAGAAUAAGAUUGGAGCAUCUAAUUUGACUAAUUGGAUAGCAAAUCAAACUAAUCCAAUCUUAUUUUUCAUAUUUUUCCACCUUCAAUUUUAAGAUAAAUAUGAACAAAAGUCUUUAUAUGAUUAUAACAAUAUAAACAAUAUAAACACUAAAAUAAUUAGUUUAACAUUAAAUAACAAAAAUCUUAUUUUAGUCUUCGACAUAUUGCUAUAUAAGUUAAAUAUAUAUGUUAGUAAAAUAAGAAAUAUUAAUAUAUUUAAAAUAUUAAAUAAUAAAAUCACAUUUUUUUGUUAUUAUUAAUAUUUAAUUAAUACAUUCUAAUUAAAUCUAAAAUAAAAACUUUACACAAAUUAGUAUAAAACCAAAUAUGAUCACCAUAAACCAACCUCAAUUAAAAAUACUUAAAUAUAUAAAAGUCAAAGUAAAUAAAUGAGAAAUAAUGCUAAAAGAUAUAUAUAUAUAUAUAUAUAUAUAUAUAUAUAUAUAUAUAUAUAUAUAUAUAUAUAUAUAUAUAUUAUUUUUAACUCCAUAUAUUAUUUUAAAUUUUAAUAAUAUAUGAAUUAUAUAUGCAUAUUGCCUUGCUGAUAUCAUGUUUCAAUUACUUGAACCAUCAGUUCAAUUAAGAAAGUUUAAUGCAAUAAUUUUUCGAUUCAAUAAUUAAUUAAUAAGAUUUUCAAAAUAUUGUAUUUGAAAACUCAUCACAAAAAAUGAAUAAAAAAGAUCAUGAAAUUCUUGCAAAGAAAACUUACUUCAUGAAAAUAUGGAAACCCCAAACCUUAAUUUCUUCAAUAAUAUGAAUCAAAAUUCUUAUAUUUAGGCAUCUUAGGAGAGAACCAAUAAUCUCAUCCACAAAUCAAGCAUAGUCAAUAGGCAAUUCUUAUGUUUAGGAGUAAUAUAUACAUACAUACAUAUAUAUACUGUGUAUAGAUGAUGUAUCUUUUGGAAAGUCAUGUAUAUAUUUAAAUGUUGUAAUGUAUAUCUUGCAUAAUAUAGUUUGACCAUUCAUCUAUUCAUUCAUUCAUCUUAUACUCUUGGAAAGAAAAGUAACUUCAUGAAAAUAUGGAAAUCUCAAACCUUAAUUUCUUCAAUGAUGCUUAUUAAAAUUUUUGCAAUAAAAAGUUGUGUAAUUGAGGACACUAAUGAUGCAAGGUUACAACUAGUCACUCCUAACCAGACUUAUUCUUAUACAUAUUUCCAUCUUCAUCUCAAGUCUGGGAGUCUACCUUUCCAUUUUAAGAAAAUUAAUUAUUCUUUUUAUUUUACAUGUAUUGAAAAAAGUAAAAGAAAAAAUAAGAUUGAGCAAUAUGAACCAAUCAAUCUUGACAUAUAUGUGAGAAGAUAAUUUAAAAGUGUAUUUGAUAGUGUUUAAUUUUGAAGUGUUUUUAAUUUUAAUAAAAGUAUUUUCUUUAGAAGUGAUUUUGAGAUAAUUACCUAUUAAAAGUGCAUUUGAUAAUGAUUUUAAAAUAGUGUUUUUAGUUUUUUAAUACUUGAAAAAUAAAAAUUUUCAAAUAUUAAAAAGAAUAAAAAUAUUUCCUAAAAUUAUUGUUAGACGCACUUUAAAACCCCGUUUAGCAGUGAUUUUAGGAAGUGUUUCUAAACUUUUUAGUACUUUAAAAUUUGUAUUAUUUAAGUGUUAGAAAUACUAGAAACGUUUUCUAAAAUCACCAUAAAAUGUAUUCUAAGAGUGUGUGUGAUAGUGAUCCUUGGAAAUGUUUUUAACAUUUUUAAUACUUAAAUGAUAAUAAUUUUCAAAUGUUAAAAGGUUAUAAACACUUCUUAAAAUUACUAUAAAACGGGUUCUAAGUGUUUCUUCAAAAAACACCACAAAUGAUUUUUUUAUCUGUUUAAAAGUGUUUUCUAAAUUUUAUUAAAUACUUAUUUUUCUCCAAAAAUAUUUUUUAAGGUAGAAGUGCUUUUUUAAAAAUAAUAUCAAAUGGACGUGUAAGUCUUAAAAUAAAAUCCCUUGAUUUAAUUAUACUUUUCAAAUCCAUCCUAUAAGCCUAAGCAUUCUUGAAAUACCCACCCCUGUUAUAAUACAAAAGCAAACCACCACUAAGGAUAUUUAAACAACAUUUUAAAGACAAUCGGAACCUAUCAAUGAGACUUUGUCUCAUAAUACAAAUUUCGUUAUGUUCACAUGUAGAAAGGGACAAAUAAUACAUAAAAACUAAAAAUCAUAUACAAUAGAAAGCUUGGAAUCAAGAGGGAAGAGAGCAAAGUUACGAAGUGGUGGAGCCUUGGUAAAAUAAAAUUAACAACGGCAUUUUCAUGUGCGUGUCUCAUCGCUGGAUGGACCGAAUUUUGCUUCUCCCAAAACUCUUUAAAUAUUGGGAGAAUUGUGUUUUGGCCCAAUUGUCCCAAAAAUUAAUAUUUGGUCCUCCAAUCAUCCAUAAUUGAUAAUAAGGAUAUGAGAUAGUAAUUGACAAAAAUACCCGCUUGACUCAUUUUUGUCUUUAUUCUACUACUUGUCACUAUUCUUUCUUAUUUAACUAUUUUUGGAUUUUCAUUUUUUUAAAACUCUUUUAUAAAUAAUUGAAAAUUUAAUAUUAUUUUUAUUUUUAAAUUAUAAAUAAAAAAAAAUUAUAUUAAUGAUUCAAAGACUAUUUAGGAAAAUACUUUCUAAAAAAAUAUUAAUUUAAAUAAAUAAAAAUUAUCUUUUACAUUUAUUUUUAUAGUUUACAUUUUAGAAGUAAAUAAUUUAAUGAUUAAAAUACCAUUUAAAAUAAAUAUAUUUACUAUUUUAAUUUUUUUUAUACUAAAAAGUAUUUUAAAGUUUUUUUUUUUUACUAUUAUAAAAUAAAAAGUUCAUUUUUUUUUUAAUCUUCUUUCUUCCUUAUUUUAAUAACUUUUUGAACAUGACUUUUAGUAAUAAGUUAUAUGGAAUGCUACAAAUUUGUUUAUUAAGGAUUUUUUUUUAAUGAUUUGAAUUAAUUGAAAAUUUAUUAAAAUAAGAAAAAGAAAAAUAAAGAAAGAGGAUUGAUGGAGAGUUUUUAUUUUAAGUACUCGAUUAAAAGAGGAUGGACGUAGAGUUUUUAUUUUAAGUAUUCAAUUAAAAUGUUUUCAUAUGACCUACUUUUAGAAGUGGAUUAUAUCAAUACAUAGUAGAGAUUGAAUUUUUUUUUUUAUAUAUAAAAGGGUUGAAAGGUAUAUUUACUUGUUUUAGAUGAAAACAAGUAACUAAAAAUUAUAUAGAUCAUAUUUGAGUUUGGUUUUAAAAUAUUUUUCUAGUUUUUAUUUUAAUUUAUUUUUAUUUUCUAUAUUGUCUCUUUUUGAAAAUAUGUUAAUUAAAAAAUGAAAACUAUUUUUAAAAAUGAAAAUUGAAAACCUUGUUUGGUAAUUUUUUUUUAUAUAAAAAAAAUUAUUUAUUAAUUUAUUGUGUCAUUGUACAAUUGUAUUACAAUAACUGUACUAAAGACGUACAAGACUACCAUUUAUGAAAUAUUAUAAUAGAUUAUGAGUCAUUCCUUUGUUUUUCUACAUGGACACAUAACUUAAGAGGGAUAUGAAAUUUGUGUCAUUGUACAAGGGUAUUACACUAACUGUACAAAGGAAAUGUACUAAUUGUACAAAGGUGUACAAAAUCAUCUUUUGUGAAUUAUUUUAAUAAAUUCUAAACCACUUUUUUUUUCCUUGUCACCCAAGGAUUGUAUGCCUAUGUCAUGCAUUUUAUUUAACUCUCAUAUGAGAAUUCUAAUAUUUUCCCUAAUAAUGAUAUUUGGGGAAAAAAUUGACCCUAAGUCCUCUACCAUUUUCUUAACCAAACAAUUGAAAAUAUGAUUAAUACACCUACAUAAACAUAUAAGUUAUGACAAAUAUGAAAUUUGUGUCAUUGUACAAGGAUAUUACACUAAUUGUACAAGGGAAAUGUGCUAAGUGUACAAGGCUCCUAAUAGGUUUUGUACGAUUGUUAAACAACUUGAAUUUGAUAUUAAGACGAUUAUUGAUAGUUUUUUUUUUCUUUUUUUUAUCAAACUAUUUCAUUUAGACAUUCCCUACAAAAAUUAACACAUAGGAAAUAAAAUUAAAAUCAAUCAUGUUUGAAUUGUUCAUUAUAAGUAAACUAAAUGAAAUAUACAUUUUUACUAUUUUUCCUUUAUAAACAUAAUUUCUUUGUUAUCAAUAGAGAUUAAAAAAAAUCAUAUUUAAAUGGAAUUAAAAAUAAACAAAAAUUAUUUUUAUAACAUUUUUAUUUUUUAAAAUCAUUAAUUUAAAUUAUGAAAUUAGUUUUAAAAUUAAAAAUACUUGUUGUAAUUAUAGUUUUGAAGAUUUCAUGAUUUUUAUCUUAUUACUUUGAAAAAAUUGUUUUAAUAAGAAAGUAUUUAUUUUAAUUAUUUUAAAUAUUUAAAUCUUUAUUAAAAAAUAUUUAGAAUUGGUGUGGAGAGCAAUUAGAUAAUUUUGGAAAGGAGAAAUUUUGAAUAUUUUGAAGAAUUUAAUUCGGCAAAUUACCAUAUUUACACUUUUUAAAAUAUUUUGGAAUGGAGAAAUUUUGAAUAUUUUGAGAGCAUAGUUCAAAGAAUUGAAAGAUUUUAAUCAAUUUUAGACAAUAGUUUUUUUUUUUGUCUUGUCAUCUAAGGAUUGCACACUCUUAAGGUACACAUUCCUCUAUUACACACUCAUCUUAUGCACUUUAUUUAACUCGCACAUGAUAAUUCAAAUACUUAUCCCACUAAUGAUGUUUGAAAGAAAAUUUUGUUUUUCCAUUUUCCACUAUUUUUUGAAACAAACCAAUGAAAACAUGGUUAACCUACCUAUGGUUAUACAUUGAGUAGCAGGUAUAUGGAAUUUGAGUCACUGUACAAGGUAUUUACACUAAGUGUACAUGAAAAAUUUACUAACUGUACAAGAGUGUACAAGAUUAUUAUUUGUGAAGGAUUUUAAGUGAUUCUGAAAAAUUUGUUUGUUUAUUUCCCCUAACCGAGGAUAAAUGACAUUCAUUACACACAUUAAUUAAGCAUACAUUCAUCUCAUGCGCUUUAUCUAAUUUGUAUAUGGUUAUUUGAAUAGGUACCUCACUUAUGAUGAUUGUAAAACAAAAUUCUACAACAAUUUUUCUUCUUUUUUAAAACCAAACCAAUGCAAACAUGGUUAACUGACCUAUUGUCAGAUAUUCAUGAGAUAAUCUAUGAAAUUUAAGUUAUUGUACAAGGGUAUUACACUAACUGUACAAGACAAAUUUACUAAUUGUACAAGGGUGUACAAGAUUACUUUUUGUUAAGGAUUUCAAGUGAUUUUGAAAAACUUUCAUAUUUUUUUCCACUCAAAGAUUUUUUUCCCCACUCAAAUUCUCUCACUCAAGAAUUGUUUCGAAUUUUAUUUUUAAAUUUCAUCAUCAAAAUUUUGUAAUUGCAUAUUUUGUUUUUGUAGUUUUAGCAAUGUUCUUUCUUUUCACUUUUUUUUUUUUUUUUUUUUUUUUUGUGAAAUUUUAUCGAAAUGAAUCUAGAUUUAAAAUUAUAAUCAUAUUUAUCAAUUUUUUUUACUAAGAUUAUCUUUAAUUCUUUUAAUAUAUUUAUACUCAUUUAUUUAAAAAAGGAAAAACUAAUUUUUUUUUUUUUUUUUUGUAAACAUAUUCUAUUACCUUUCAAGUAAAAAAUUAGAUAAGUUUGAAAGUCAACAAAAAAAAAUUAAAUACCACUUUCAAUAAUUUUUAGAUAAAAUUUUAUAUAAUAUAUUUUAUUUGAAAUUUAAUUUUUAAAGUUUAACUAAAAAAUUAUAUUGACAAUUUUCUAGUUAUGAGUCAAAAUACUUUGCAUUAGUAUAUCUAUAUAAGAAAAAUUAUUAAUAUAAUAUUAUAACCUCAUAUCUUAGUUAUUUUUUUUCAAUAAAUUUAUCUUUUUAAAAAUUUUAAAAUAAAAACAUUAAAAAUUAAAAAGCUAAAAAGAUAUAUAUAUAUAUAUAUAUAUAUAUAUAUAUAUAUAUAUAUAUAUAUAUAUAUAUAUAUAAUAAAGUGAAGUGAUAGUUAAUUUUAAUUUUUUUUUAAAUAUGGUUAAUGUAGAAAAUAUAAAAAUAAUUAAAAAUAAGAGAAAAAUAUAAAUGAAAGGGUAAUAUAAUUUUAAAAUAAAUAAUAAUAAUUAAACUAAAAGAUAAAUAUAAAAAGAUAAAAAAUAUUUGGAUGAAAAAUCCCAAAAUUUUUAUCAUUGCUUUUAAUAAGAGCAAAAAGAUUGAAUAUCUUUAAAAAUGAAAAAUAAAAAAAUAUUAUUACUUUUUAUUUGACAUAAAAUAGAAAUAUAUAUUGGAAUAAAAAGAAAAAAAAAGUUAGAAAUGAGUAAUACUUAAUAGGGAAUAGAAAAGGAAAAAAAACAUAAAAAAAAUUGAAAUUCACACUCACUUGUAGACAUAUAAGGGAUAAGGGUAUUUUAGGAAUUAAUGAAAGACAAUAUCCUUCAUCUUAAUUUUCAUACUUUGUUUGAGUCUUGGGUUUAAAUAUGCAUGAUAUAUGGACUAAAUGUUAAUUUUUGAUCCCAGCUGGCCCAAAAUACAAUUCUCCCUUAAAUAUUAUAAUUAGAGCCCACUUGAUGCUUAGAAAAAUACAUUUGCAAGUGAUCUCCAUCUGUCAAUCAAUUAAUCUAUACAAUAUUAAAAAUUCACUUCUUGUUGAUUUAGCAAAAUCACUUUGUUGGGGGUGGCCUGUCUCCGAUGUUACUCAAGUUUCAACUCUGGACUUUUCAAAUUAACAAAGUGCAGUGAUUCAUCUUUCUUCUUUGUUCCAUUUUUGGCUGAAUUGUAAUCCUUUUGUCUGUAACUUACGGAAAGCUAUGGAGUUUCUGAGCUCGAUCGUGGGUCUGGUCCCCUGCUUCUAUGAUCACACCUCCAAGCAUACGGUCUACAUUCGUGAUCUGAGAAAAAAUCUCCAAGCCUUGAGGAAAGAAAUGGUGGAUCUGAACAACUUGUACGAAGAUAUGAAGGCAAGGGUUGAACGUGCAGAGCAACAAGAGAUGAAGCGCAGAAAGGAAGUGGGUGGGCGGAUCUGUGAAGUAGAAGACAUGGAGAAAGAAGUUCACGAAAUUCUGCAAAGAGGAGAUCAAGAAAUCCAGAAGAGUUGUCUAGGAUGCUGUCCCAGGAAUUGUUGGUCUAGCUACAGGAUUGGAAAGGCGGUAAGUGAAAAGCUGGUUGCUGUAUCUGGUCAAAUCGGCAAAGGACAUUUCGAUGUUGUAGCCGAGAUGUUGCCUCGUCCUCCAGUUGAUGAACUGCCCAUGGAGGCGACUGUGGGCCCACAAUUGGCAUAUGAAAAGAGCUGUAGGUUUCUCAAAGAUCCACAAGUGGGAAUUAUGGGAUUGUAUGGAAUGGGGGGUGUUGGCAAAACCACCCUCUUGAAGAAAAUCAACAAUGAAUUCCUCACAACAUCCAAUGACUUUGAGGUCGUGAUUUGGGCUGUGGUGUCAAAAUCGCCCGACAUUGAAAAAAUUCAGCAAGUUAUUUGGAAUAAAUUGGAAAUCCCACGUGAUAAAUGGGAAACUAGAAGCAGUAGGGAGGAGAAGGCUGCAGAAAUAUUGAGAGUUUUGAAAAGAAAAAGGUUCAUCUUGUUGUUGGAUGACAUUUGGGAGGGACUUGAUCUCCUAGAAAUGGGGGUCCCGCGUCCAGAUACUGAAAAUAAGUCCAAGAUAGUUUUGACGACCCGAUCACAGGAUGUCUGCCACCAAAUGAAAGCUCAGAAGAGUAUAGAAGUGGAAUGUUUGGAGUCAGAAGAUGCCUGGACUUUGUUCCGGAAGGAGGUAGGAGAAGAAAUAUUAAAUUCUCAUCCGGAUAUACCGAUGCUUGCAAAGGUUGUUGCUGAAGAGUGCAGAGGUUUACCUCUCGCUCUUGUCACUCUUGGGCGGGCCAUGGCAGCUGAGAAAGAUCCCUCAAACUGGGACAAGGUAAUACAAGAUCUACGCAAAUCUCCAGCUGAAAUCACAGGUAUGGAAGAUAAAUUGUUUCAUCGAUUGAAACUCAGUUAUGAUAGGUUGCCUGACAAUGCCAGCAAAUCUUGUUUUAUAUAUCAUUCCAUCUUCCGAGAGGACUGGGAGAUUUAUAAUUAUCAACUUAUAGAACUUUGGAUAGGGGAGGGGUUCUUGGGUGAAGUUCACGACAUACAUGAAGCACGGGAUCAAGGGAAGAAAAUUAUUAAUACUUUAAAGCAUGCAUGUUUAUUGGAGAGCUGUGGUUCGAAAGAAUAUAGGGUUAAGAUACAUGAUGUGAUCCGUGACAUGGCUUUAUGGUUAUAUGGUGAACAUGGGGUGAAAAAGAACAAAAUUCUAGUAUACAAUAAAGUUGCUAGGCUUGAUGAAGAUCAAGAAACUUCCAAAUUGAGAGAAACAGAGAAGAUAUCAUUAUGGGAUAUGGAUGUUGGGAAGUUCCCAGAAACAUUGGUGUGCCCCAAUCUUAAGACUUUAUUUGUGAAAAAAUGUCAUAAUUUGAAGAAAUUUCCAAAUGGAUUCUUUCAAUUCAUGCUUCUACUUAGAGUUCUGGAUUUGUCAGACAAUGAUAAUUUAAGCGAGUUGCCAACUGGGAUUGGUAAAUUGGGUGCCUUGAGGUAUCUUAAUUUGUCAUACACAAGAAUAAGGGAGUUGCCCAUUGAACUAAAGAAUUUGAAAAAUCUGAUGAUUUUGAUUAUGGAUGGUAUGAAAUCCCUUGAAAUUAUUCCACAAGAUAUGAUAUCAAGCCUUAUAUCCUUGAAGUUGUUCUCCAUUUAUGAAUCCAAUAUUACAAGUGGAGUUGAAGAAACUGUACUGGAGGAGUUGGAGUCCUUGAAUGACAUCAGUGAGAUAUCAAUCAUCAUAUGCAAUGCUCUUUCAUUCAACAAACUAAAGAGUAGUCAUAAAUUACAAAGGUGCAUAUGUCAUCUAUAUUUACAUAAAUGGGGGGAUGUGAUCUCACUUGAACUGCCUUCUUCAUUUUUUAAAAGAACGGAGCAUUUGCAGCAGCUUAAUAUAAGCCAUUGCAAUAAAUUGAAAGAAGUGAAAAUUAAUGUGGAAAGAGAAGGGAUACACAAUGGUAUGACUCUUCCAAACAAAAUUGCAGCAAGGGAGGAAUACUUCCACACCCUUCAUCGUGUGGUUAUAAUUCAUUGUUCAAAAUUGUUAGACUUAACAUGGCUUGUUUAUGCUCCAUAUCUUGAAGGACUUUACGUUGAAGAUUGUGAAUCAAUAGAAGAAGUGAUACGUGAUGAUAGUGAAGUCUGUGAAAUUAAGGAAAAAUUGGACAUAUUCUCAAGGCUCAAACACCUCGAGCUCAAUAGGCUGCCAAGAUUGAAGAGCAUCUACCAGCAUCCACUACUCUUUCCCUCUCUUGAAAUCAUCAAGGUGUGUGAAUGCAAAGGUUUGAGGAGCCUCCCAUUUGAUUCCAACACUUCAAAUAAUAGUCUAAAGAAAAUUAAAGGAGAGACAAGUUGGUGGAAUCAGUUGAAGUGGAAAGAUGAAACUAUCAAGCACUCUUUUACUCCAUAUUUCCAAAUCCGUGAAGCUGAAGCAUAUUCAACAGACACUGGCAGCAUAGAUGAUAUGCAGGAACAACCAGUAUCAAAUUAACUUCUAUCAAUCUUUCAGGUAUUAAUUAACUUUUAUACUAUAUUUGGAAAACCCUUUUCUUUCCUUAAUCCCAUUCUUUUGUGGAAUUUUUUACUCUAUCUAUGCCAAAGUGCAUCAAAGUCUCAACAUCAAAAUAACUUUCAAUGUUUGAUCUAUCAAGUUUGCCCCUUUUGAAGUAACUGUUAUAAAGUUUGCCCAGAAGGGACUUUGAAGGAGGUCUUUUAUUUAAACAUCUAAUGACAUUUCCUUUUGGUUACUUGAGAACUUGAAAAUAUGCAAAGUUCUCAACUAUAUUAUUUAUCAUGUCUUAAUUUUUUCGAUUCAUUUCAAUCUAUAAACAGAAAGAGAGAAUACCUAAUUUCAACUUAAUUCCUUAUAUUUCAAGUUGAACCAACAGGUGUUUCACAACUGUAGGUAAAGAUAUUCCAUUAAGAAUUCUCGCUUUGUUUAAUGUAUUUACCAGGACCAACCAUAUGUAAAUUCUCUUCUUUUGUUGAGUUGCCUCUAUCUGGUUGAUUCUCAGUUGGUUUUUUUUUUCUUUUCUUUUUUCUAUUGCAUUCAGAGUUGGGGCUUGUUCUAGAAGUUCUGACAACAGCUGGGAUUCAAUUAGCUCUCUCUAGUGGAGCCUUGAGUUUUUUGGUUGGUUGCAGAGUAGGGUCUUGUUCUACCCGUCCUUACUCAGUUGGGAUCUGAGCUUCUUCGGCUGCUUCCGUUUCGUCUUGCUCUUUUUCCUUCUAAUUAGUAUAGACGUGAGCUGGAUUAUGUUUGCUUGCUGGUCUGAGUUUCUGAUAUGUUUUGUGGCGGUGUGCUGAUUCUCAGAGUAUCGUUAUUCAUGGUGCUCAGUCUGCUGGGAAAGUUGGUUAAUGUCCAGAUGCAGGGGCUCAUCUCAGCAGGCUUUGGUUGGGAUCCAUGUGUUUGCUGGAAUUGGAUUCUGUGGGUUGCCGUUGGAUUUUGAUGUAGGCCGGGUUUGUUUUCUUUGUUGAGGCUGGUGGAGUAUGGUGGCUCAGAAGCUGCUAGUAAUCUGUCUGUUGUAUGCUGACGCUGGAAUCUUCAUGGUGGUUGCUCUGGUGGGUCAAUAUGAUAUGGGAAUGCUUUUGCCUUUUGAGUCCUUGGGCGUCAGCUGGUUGCUUGUGUUUCCUCUGCGCUUUAGUUCACAUACCAGAGUGCAUACUUCCUUGAGUUCCAUAUCCCACUGCCAAGUGUGUUGUCCAUGAUGUAAUGUAAAGUAGUUAAUUUGUAUACUUGGCCUUCAGUUCCCUUCUAGAAAACUUUGAACGCCCUUUAUGAAUGAAAUGUUGUGAGAAAAACUGGAGUUGAUUUUCACAUUUGAGGUCGUUAAUGGUGAUUUUUCUUAAUGUAAUUGUGAUUGAAAAGAAAUUUGAUCAAGGAGUUGAAACUAUAAGCAGAGUCGAUCUUAUUCAACAUUGCAUUAUAAUUUGGUACCCCUCACAGAUCGCUCCAAAUAUCAUUGAAAAGUACUUUCAUUUUCCUUCAGUGGAGGCUUCUUUUUCUUUGCUGGUUAAUAUUCAUAGCUUCAGUGCUUGAUGAAAUUUCGUUACUUUACAUUGUUCACUCUUGUCCCUCCUGCUCUAAUCACAAACAAAUGCUCCAAUAAAUAAGAAUGAUUUGUUCAAGAAAUUUGAAGAUACUUGAACGAUAAAAGAAAAGAAUAGGAGAGAAAGGAAAAGAAAUUCAGAAAGCAAACACUUGGUAGUUUCCAUUUCAAUUAACCGAUCUUUGAAACUAAAAUGUAAUUCUUGGUAGAAUAAAAGAAGACAUGCAACAUCUUAAGAAGAUUCAUCUAAUGGAACAUACAAUGCUACAAUUGGAAACUGAGACUAAACAGUAGUUUUUGGUAGAAUGGAUAUCGCAUGACAAAAAGAAAGUUUUGUAGCUUUGACUGCUUCAAAAUUCUUGUACGUAUAGCCCACAAACCUUUCGAGAUCAUACUUGUUUCUUUAGGCCUAUGAACAUACGGCUCUCACGGAAGAUCUUAUAACUUUAGAAGUUCAUAGUGUCCAUAAAAUCAGAGGAAAAGAAAAGGAUGUAUAGCCAAGUUCAUGAAAAAUAAAGAGAUGGUUUAUUUAAAGUUCACAAGUCUGGGACAUCUAAAACACUUUAAUUGUGUUUGGUUAAGCCUCCAUUUAUGGGGCAAUUCCCAUCAAGUCUAAUGAUUGACCAUCGAUGACUUGAAAAUCGAAGCAUUGGAUGUGCCGCAUGUAGUUGAUGUUGCAUUAUCGAGGGUUGUUAUAUUAUAAAAAGGCAUGAUAAGAUCACGAGUUAUUGACAAAUUACCCGAUCCUAACUUGUCUCAUUUAUAUUAAUUUAUUCUCGUCCAUAUCGUUACAAAAAAUUUUAAAUGAGGAAGGAUGGAUAUGAGAAUUUGUCAUACCUGCCUUAUACCAUUUAUUUAUUUAUUUAGUUUUUUAACAAUUAAAAAUAAACACAUUUUAUAAAUAAAUAAAUAUUAUAAAUUUUAUAACUUAUUUUAUUUAAAAACAUAUAUAUAUUUUAAUUAUUUUAUGUGUUCAAAAGAAGAAAAUGAAAAAACAAUUAAUUAAAUUAUUUUUAAAUUUAGUUAUACAGGUUGGAAAGUGGUGGGUUAGUACAAGGCAUAUCUUGAACCCUGCCCCUAACCAACCCUAGUUUUAAAACAAAAAAAUGUUAAAUACGUAUCUAAUCAGUUUAUCUUCAUUUAAAUAUGUCUUAUUAAAGGUAAGUAUUUGAAAAAACUUGUCUCAUUAUUAUCCUUAAUCAUAAUUUUUUUUAAUUUAAAUUUAUAUACCAACAAACAGUUAAAUUAAAUUAAAAAUUCUUAUGCAAACAAGGGCGAAAAAUUGUGUACCUUCCUUGACAUUCUAGAUCCAGUUUUUGCUGUUUUUGGAGGAUCCACUUGAGGAACAAUUUAAAUUUAUUCACAAAUACAAUUAUUCAAAAAGGCAUUGUACUGAACACAAGCAAAAUAACUACAAAUGUUAAUAGAAAUGGAUGGAAGCAUACAGGUGUAGAGAAUAUAAAAAAGGAUUUUGAAGCCAAAAAUAAAAAAUCAAAAUCAAAAUAAAUAAAAGUAUAUGGUGGUUUAUUAUUGCUCAGGCCUAAUAAUUGAUUGUACAUGUCAAUGGGCCUAAUAUUAUUGCUCUGGCCUUUAUUCUAGAUGUCCAGACCCUGUCACUGCCUGAGUGUGAGGUCAUGGCUCGUUCUCUGUAUAGGUAGGUUCAUACACCUCUAAAACUUGAGUUGGUGGACUACCUUUCCCAGUUCUGAUCUUUCAGAUUCUUUCAUGGGCUUGAGUUGUAGCAUGAGCUUCCCGUUCUCCCCUACCCUGGUCCUAUAGUACUAUUUUUUUUUUUAAACUUGGCCCUAGAUUUUUUUUAGUAUAAAAAGUACUAUUUUGUUGAAUUUAAAAAAAACUCACAGGGAACAUAACCUUUCAAUAAUCCUUUAACCUCUAUCUCUCAAAACUUUCAAAAUCCAUCUUGAAAGUCUCUCUUGACUAAAACAAAUAUUUGAGACUGGCGUUGUAUAUGCUUUAAUAAGGGCUUUGAGGGACUUGCUAAAGAUAUUGAUGACAAUUUUGAGACGAUAAAAUAACACGACUUGAAAAUGAUAUAAAAUUUAAUAGAUUCAGAUUAGGUAUAACAUAUUUAUGUUGUAAUCAUAUCAACUCAUACGACCCGUUUAAUAAAAUGUACGAUUAUCCAACCCCAUAUAGCUUGUUUACUAAUUCAUGCCAAACAAACCAAUUUAUUUAAUCGUAUCAAAAUAAUGUUUAACUCAUAUAAAAUUAUUAAUAUUAUAUAUUUUAAAUUUAUAAAAAAAAAUGCUUAUUAGUUAUAAAUAUGAUAUAGUUAAAAAAUGAAGUAACUAAGUAAAAUUUUAUACAUUUCAUUCUAAAGAUUAAAAUUAUUUUAUCAUUAGAACAUUAGAUAGAAUUAUAAACAAGCCUAAAAUUAAAAUUUUAAUGUAUUUUUAUAUUAUAAACAAUUUCUAAUUUAAAUGUUAUAAUUAAAUUAGUUAAAAUUUUUAAAACUUAAAAUGUAUUUUGAACAAUAGAUUUAUAAAAUUAAAAUUUUAAAUAGGUUAAACAUGUUAAAAUCGUAUUAACAUGUUAAACGAGUUAGAAUCAUAUUAAGCUAACCAUGUUAGAAUUGUAUUAGUAUGUUACACAAGUUCAAAUCGUGUUGACAUAUUAAACGAAUUAGAAUCAUGUUAAUGGGUUUAACGACUAUUAAUAGGUUUCAUAUGUUAGAAUUGUAAUAACAGGUUAUCUAUGUCAAUUUAUACAAAGGUUAACUUAACCUAUCUAUUAAAUUAGUUUUGUUUGAAUUAGGUUAUUUUAACACAAUUCUUAAAUAAAUUGUAUUCCUAUCGAGUAAAUUUUCACUAUUUGUAUCUCAACAUUAUACAAAUCCAACACGUAUAAUAUUACAUAUUGUCACCCCUAACUAAGGAGCAUAUGAGUGUUGCAUCGAGGAAGCAGAAGAGUAUAAAGACUAUUUAUAUAAAAUUUUAGGAAGUAGAAGCAUUCGAUCAAGUAAAGUUGUGUUAACUUUUUUUCAUAGUUAGUGGAUUAUUCAAUAGUCAAGAGACCAACUGUGGUUUUUUACGCCUAAGGAUUUUUAGGUGGGUUCCACAUUAAAUUCUAUAUCUAAUUGUAUAAUUAGAAAUAUCGUGCAUGAGAUUGAUAACAUAUUAGUCAUAAUUGAAUCGGAAUAAAAUAAUUUAUCUUUGGGGUUAAUUGAUUGAACUACCUAUGUAUAUAUAUUUUAUAUUUUCUAACUUUAAAUUAAUUAUUAUGUUGGGAAAUGGAAUAAGGGAAUAGUUGGCUCCAUUUUCAAUCUUGGUAACAUAAUUUGUUGUUGACAUGUUAUUUUAUCUUAUUUGAUAUAUUUUGUAGGAUAAAAAUAUAUAAUCAAGUGCUCUUGUAUGAUUGAUUUAAAUGUUAGAAAAUGUUUUACAAAACAUUAAUUCUAUUUGACUGAUGACAAAAACUUUUAAUUGCCCAACAAUUUUUUAUAAACUUUAAGUUGCUAGCAUUCAUGUGUUAUCAUAAAGUUAUUAAUUAUUUUAUCUAAGUUGAACCAAAAUUCUUGGGUAAAUGAAGAAGUAUUUAUUGACAUACUUGUUUAUAUUAGAAGUUUUUAGUUUGAUUUGUUGUUAAAUUCAAAUUCUUAGUAGCUAGCUUUGAAUACUAGCUAAUUGCAUUGGUUUUUGUUGUAAGUUUGAUUUUUACAUUGUUUUUAGGCAUGAUGUUUAUUAAUUGAAAAUGCUAAUGAUUCGAGAUUAGAAUCAGUCACUCCUUACUAAACUUAUUUUUUUAGGCUAUGUUUGGUAGACCAAAUAUAAUAUAUAAUAGAAUAAGAGAAAAUAUAUUAUAUCAUGUCUCAUCUUUAGUUGAUGAUGAGAUAUGAUAAGUUAUUUCAUUGCUUAUUAUAUCAUAUGUUUAACCAAAUAUGAGAUAUAAGAAGUGAUGAGAUAUAUUAGUCACUCUUUUUUUUUUAAUCUCUUAUACAUAAAAUAUGUCAAUCUCAUACUAAGAUAUAAGAAAUGUAUAUUUCAUAUAUCAUAAAUUUAUUUUUUAUCAAUUUUUUUAUAUAUUUAUUUUGUAAAAUAAUUUUUUUAUUAUAAAAUUAAAUUUAUAGUUAAAAAAAACUAAAAAAAUAUUUAUAAAUAAUAUUAAUAUAUGAUAUAUAGAUUACUUUUAUAUAUUAAAUAACAUAAUAUAAACAUUUUUUAUUUGUAAAAUUUAAAUAUUUUAAUCAUGACUAUUUUUAAACAUAAAAGAAAUUUCAUUUUUUUAAAUGGAAAAUAUUGAAAUGUGAUAUAAUUUUUAUUUUAAACAUUGAAAAUAAUAUAUAUAUCAUAUUAUUUUUAUUCAUUUCAUAAAUUAAAUAUAAAUAUAAUAUAAUAUAUCUCAUUAGAUAUGUCACAUUAGAAUAUCAUAUUCAUAAGAUAUAUAUAUUUAAGGAUAUCAUAUCCUAUUAAAAAUCAUAUUUUAGGAUAUCAUUCUUUUUACCACAAGAGACUUAAACCCAAGUCUAUUUUUAUACCCCUUGAACAAUUACAAGGUUGAACCAUUGGGCUAAGGGCAAUAAUUGCUUUUAAUCGGUAAAAUUUGUAUGUAUACUAUAGUUGCACUGCCUAAUGUAAAGUGUUGGCUCCGCCACUAAGUUGCACCUCAAGCCACCACCAAGUCUCCACAUGAUGCCCUUGUAAGCCUGGAUUAUAACAUUACCUUGGUCAAUAGGCACUUAUGGGUACAUGCUGCAACCCCACGAGACCUUGGUGCCACAUUCUCCAAGUCAAGGUGUUAAUACUCUUCUAUGCUCACAAACUUAAUUUGGUCACCAUUUAUUAACUUAUAAGUCUCUAUAACCAUAAAUAAAAUUUCAAACAUAUUAUUAGAACAAGGCUCUAUAUUUUGGGUUUUGAUAUCCAAUGAGAUAUUAAAUUUUAAGAUAUAUAUAUUUUAUCAAAUUAUAUCCCACCAAUGAAAUGUAAUCUUAGCUUAAAUUUAUUCUCAUUUUUAUUUCUCAUUUUUAUCCAAAAUCCAGGAAUUUACUUUUCUGUUUUAAGGUAAUUCAUUUUAAAUUUUAUUUUAUGUGUAUUAAAAAAAUAAAAGAAAAAAUAAGGAGUGACAUCAAUCAUUAUAAAGCCUGAAUCAAUCCCAAACAUGCAUAAGAAGAUGAUUUAAGUCUUAAAAUAAAAUCCCAAACCUACUUCUGACUAGACUACACGUUUUGAGUCUCCUAUUGGGCCUGGGCAUCCUUGAAAUACCCACCCCCAAUUAUAAUACAAAAGCAAACCGUCGGUAGGGAGAUUUAAACAACAUUUCAAAGACAAAUGAAACCUAUCAAUGCGACUUUGUCUCAUGUUCACAUGUAGAAAGGGACAAAUAAUACAUAAAAACUAAACAUCAUAUACAAUAGCAAUUGUGGAAUAAAGAGGGAAGAGAGUAGGAAGUUACGAAGUGAUGGAGCCUUGGGUAAAAUAAAAUUAACAAUGGCAUUAUCAUGUGCGUGUCUCAACGCUUGAUGGGUUAUAAUUAGAGCCCACUUGAUGCUUAGAAAAAUAUUUUUGCAUGUGGUCUCCAUCUCUCAAUCGAUUAAUCUAUACAAUAUUAAAAAUCCACUUGAUCUUAAUUUAGGAAAAUUAUUUUGUUUUGUUGGUGAUGGCCUGUCUCCCAUCUUAUUCAAGUGUCAACUCUGGACUUUUCAAAUUUACGAAGUGCAGUGUUAAAUCCUUUAUAUGAUGAUAGGAUAUUCUUAGAAAAAGCAAAAUGUAAUAGCAUCUCCUUUAUUUAUUUUUUUUCUUUCAAAAAAAAUGUUAUAAAUUGUACAAGUUACAUGCAUAAUUCAAAAUUAUCAAUAAAAAUUCAAUUCAAUGCCACCAUGACCAAUCAGGAUUGUUCAACGAAUAAUGUAAAGUAUAAUAUAGUGGUGAUGAAUGCAAGCAUAAACCACUGUGGAGCCAAGAUUCACGGGGCAUCAUUGGAGGAGAAAAUUAAAGAAAUGGUGGAGGGUGGUGUAUGCAUAGAAUUAUCAUGGGCACAGUGCGGGGGGCCCAUCUCUUUCCCAAAAGGAAGACAGAAUAAUUGAGCGACCCAGCUUAUGAUAUGAUAUUGCAUCAGGUUAACUUCACCCCAGUCUCAGCCUCUUUGAAUUACCAAACCCUAUUCUCUUCUCUCUUUACUGCUAAUCCUCAUCUCUUUUCCUCUUACUGUGCUCUCCUGAAACUUUUGUAGAUGGUGGCAUAGCUACCUAUACUGAAGUUUUAACUCCGGAGUUUUUGAUUGACAAGGGCAGUGAUUCAUCUGCUCCCUGUACUGCAAACUAUCCCCUCUUUCUUCUAUCUUUGGCUCAACUUCAGUCCUUUUUUCCUUUGAUUUCCCGAAAGCUAUGGAGUUCCUGAGCUCAAUCGUGGGUCUGAUCCCCUGUUUCUAUGAUCACACCUCCGAGCAUACGGUCUACAUUCGUGAUCUGAAAAAAAAUCUCCAAGCCUUGAGCAAGGAAAUGGCGGAGCUCAACAACUUGUAUGAAGAUGUGAAGGCAAGGGUUGAAGGUGCAGAGCAACGACAGAUGAUGCGCAGAAAGGAAGUGGGUGGCUGGAUCUGUGAAGUAGAAGUCAUGGUGACGGAAGUUCAAGAAAUUCUGCAAAAGGGUAAUCAAGAAAUCCAGAAGAGAUGUCUCGGAUGCUGUCCUAGGAAUUGUUGGUCAAGCUACAAGAUUGGGAAGGCAGUAAGCGAAAAGCUGGUUGCUGUAUCUGGUCAAAUCGGCAAAGGACAUUUCGAUGUUGUAGCCGAGAUGCUGCCUCGUCCUCUAGUAGAUGAGCUGCCCAUGGAGGAGACUGUGGGCUCAGAAUUGGCGUAUGGCAGAAUCUGUGGGUUUCUCAAAGAUCCACAAGUGGGAAUUAUGGGAUUAUAUGGAAUGGGGGGUGUGGGCAAAACCACCCUCUUGAAGAAAAUCAACAAUGACUUCCUCAUUACAUCCAGCGAUUUUGAUGUUGUAAUUUGGGAUGUAGUGUCAAAACCGCCCAGCAUUGAAAAAAUUCAGGAAGUUAUUUGGAAUAAAUUACAAAUCCCACGUGAUAUAUGGGAAAUUAAAAGCACUAAGGAGCAGAAGGCUGCAGAAAUAUCGAGAGUUCUGAAAACAAAGAAGUUCGUGUUGUUGUUGGAUGACAUUUGGGAGAGACUUGAUCUGCUAGAAAUGGGGGUCCCGCAUCCCGAUGCUCAAAAUAAAUCCAAGAUAAUUUUCACGACCCGGUCACAAGACGUGUGCCACCGAAUGAAAGCUCAGAAGAGCAUAGAAGUGACGUGUUUGUCAUCAGAAGCAGCUUGGACUUUGUUUCAGAAGGAGGUAGGAGAAGAAACAUUGAAGUCUCAUCCACAUAUACCGAGGCUUGCAAAGACUGUUGCUGAAGAGUGCAAAGGUUUACCUCUCGCUUUGAUUACUCUAGGGCGAGCCAUGGUGGCUGAGAAAGAUCCCUCAAAUUGGGACAAGGUAAUACAAGUUUUGAGCAAAUUUCCAGCUAAAAUUUCAGGUAUGGAAGAUGAAUUGUUUCAUAGAUUAAAAGUCAGUUAUGAUAGAUUGUCUGACAAUGCCAUCAAAUCUUGUUUUAUAUAUUGUUCCUUAUUCUCUGAAGAUUGGGAGAUUUCAAAGGAAGUCCUUAUAGAAUAUUGGAUAGGAGAGGGAUUUUUGGGUGAAGUUCAUGACAUACAUGAAGCACGUAAUCAAGGGCAUGAAAUUGUUAAAAAAUUAAAGCAUGCAUGUUUAUUGGAGAGUUGCGGCUCGAGAGAACAAAGGGUUAAGAUGCAUGAUGUGAUCCAUGACAUGGCUUUAUGGUUAUAUUGUGAAUGUGGGGAGAAGAAGAACAAAAUUUUAGUAUACAAUGAUGUUUCUAGGUUGAAGGUAGCUCAAGAAAUUCCAGAAUUGAAAGAGACAGAGAAGAUGUCAUUAUGGGAUCAAAAUGUUGAAGAGUUCCCUAAAACAUUGGUGUGUCCCAAUCUUCAGACUUUAAAUGUAACUGGUGAUAAGUUGAAGAAAUUUCCAAGUGGAUUCUUUCAAUUUAUGCCUCUAAUAAGAGUUUUGGAUUUGUCAAAUAAUGAUAAUUUCAAUGAGUUGCCUACUGGAAUUGGUAAAUUGGGCACCUUGAGAUAUCUUAAUUUGUCAUCCACAAAAAUAAGAGAGUUGCCUAUUGAACUUUCAAAUUUGAAAAACCUAAUGACUUUGCUUUUGGCGGAUAUGGAAUCCUCUGAAUUAAUUAUUCCGCAAGAAUUGAUAUCAAGUCUUAUAUCUUUAAAGUUGUUCAACAUGAGCAAUACCAAUGUCUUAAGUGGAGUUGAAGAAAGCUUGCUAGAUGAGUUGGAGUCCUUGAAUGGCAUCAGUGAGAUAAGUAUCACCAUGUCUACUACUCUUUCAUUCAACAAAUUAAAGACUAGUCACAAAUUGCAAAGGUGCAUAAGUCAAUUCCAGUUGCAUAAAUGUGGAGAUAUGAUCUCACUUGAACUAUCGUCUUCGUUUUUGAAAAAAAUGGAGCAUUUGCAACGGCUUGAUAUAUCUAAUUGCGAUGAAUUAAAAGACAUAGAAAUGAAAGUGGAAGGAGAAGGGACACAAAGUGACGCAACUCUCAGAAACUACAUUGUUGUAAGGGAGAACUACUUUCACACCCUUCGUCACGUAUAUAUUAUUCUUUGUCCAAAAUUGUUGAACAUAACAUGGCUUGUUUGUGCUCCAUAUCUUGAGGAACUUAGCAUUGAAGAUUGUGAAUCAAUAGAACAAUUGAUAUGUUAUGGAGUAGAGGAAAAAUUGGACAUAUUCUCAAGGCUCAAAUACCUCAAGCUCGAUAGGCUGCCAAGAUUGAAGAACAUCUACCAGCAUCCGCUGCUCUUUCCCUCACUUGAAAUCAUCAAGGUGUAUGAUUGCAAACUCUUAAGGAGCCUCCCAUUCGAUUCCAACACUUCAAACAACAAUCUUAAGAAAAUUAAAGGAGAGACAAGCUGGUGGAAUCAGUUGAAAUGGAAAGAUGAAACUAUCAAGGACUCUUUUAUUCCAUAUUUCCAAGUCCAUGAAGCUGAAGCAUAUUUUGCAGAGGAGUCUGAAACUAGCAGCAUAGAUGAUAGGCAAGAACAGCUGAUAUCAAAUUAAUUUCUAUCCAUCUUUCAGGUAUUAAUUAACUUUGAUUUUAUAUUUGAAAAAUAAUCUUCUUUCCUUACUCUCAUUCUUUUGUGGAAAUUUUUACUUUCCCUACCUCAAAAGUGCAUUAAAAUUUCAAACAUCAUAAUAACUUUCAAUGUUUGAUCUGUAUGGAUUACUUCCAUAAUUUUCAGCCUAAUCCUAAUAACUUUCAAUCUAUUUUUUCCCCUUUUAUAUUCUUUCUCUUCUAUGUUGCUUUGAAUCUUGCAAGAUCCAAACAAAGCUAAAUCUACACCCAUUUCUAUAUCAUGGUCCACCCCUUCCAAAAUCUUGGAUGGGUAAUUCAAUUCUAGUUGUCCCUUGUGAAAUAAUUGUUAUAAAAGGUUUGCCCAGAUGGCACUUUGAAAGAGGUCUGUAGUUUAAAAAUGGGAUGACAUUCCCUUUUGGUUACUUGAGAACUUGAAAAUAAUGCAGAUUUUUAAACUAUAUUAUAUAUUUGUCCUAAUUUUUUUAAUCGAUUUCAAUCUAUAAAUAGAAAUAGAUCAACUUCGAUAUAUUUCAAGCUGAACAACAGGGUUUCACAACUACUAUAGUUAUAGAUAUUCCAUUAAGAAUUAUUGCCUUGUUUGAUGUGUUUACCAGGAUCAACUUCAGUUGCAAGGGUAAUUUCUCUUCUCUUGUUAAGUUACCUCUAUCUGGUUCGCUCUGAUCGGUUUUUGCUUUUCUUUUUCUUUUUUUCAUUUCUCUUUUUGUUGCAUUCAGGGUUGGUGCUUGUUCUAGCAGUUAAGGCAACAACCGGGUUUUGAUCUUCUUUAUAUAGACUGUGUUGCUGCUGUUUUUGCUGAUUGGAGAUGUCCUGCUCUUUUUCCUUCUACUUGGCAUCUGGGUUUAGUCUGAGGUCUCUAGUAUGUUUUAUCAGGGAGGCGUAAAUGCUGAUUCUCAUAGCAUUGAUCUUUCAUGCUGCUGAGACUGCUGGGAAGGUUGGUGUACUUAUGAUGGUCGCAACAUCCUUUUUGUUUCUGGAUCUCAGGAAUUGGAUUCCGUGGGCUGCCUUUGGCUUUUGAUGUGGGGUGGGUCUUGUUUUGUUGAUUUGUUGAGGCUGGUGCAGUGUGGUGGUGGGUUUGAAGCUGCUAGUAUGCUGCUGCUGGGUCAAUGUCGAUGAGAUAUGGAAAUGCUUUUGGCUCUUUGGGCUUCUGCUGGUUGAUUAUGUUUCCCCUGCUUACACAUGUAUUAUCACCAGAUCCUAUGUGAAGAUGGGAUGGAUUGUUUUAAUAAUGAUGGUGUGUGUGUGAUAUAAUCCCAUCAACAUAGCCACAUGCUUUGGUUCAUAUACCCGAGCACCACUUACUUCCUUGAGUUUGAUAUCCCACUGCCAAGUGUGUUGUCCAUAAUGUUGUAGGAAGAGUGUAAAUAAUUUUUAUUUUUAUUUUUGGGAAUUAUUUUUAAUUUAUUUUAUUUUAUUCUAUUAGUCUUAUAUUUUUGGAAAGUGUUCUAUUGAGAAUUAUUUUUUUUUUUUAUCAUUUUUUAUUUUAUUUUAUUAGUGUUAUAUUUUUGGAAAGAGUCCUAUUGGGAUUGUGUAAGUGGAGUCUCAUUCAUUUUAUAAGUAGAUUCCUCUUCCACUUUGUAGUUUCCUAUUAGGACUGUGUUAGUAACCUAUAAAAGCAGGUCACCUCUCUCUCUAUAUGAAUACCAAAUUUUCAGAGAGUUUUCAAAGAGUAUUUUCAUACAUCUAUUUGGAGGAAUUUAUUAAAAACCCGAGUUGUACAUAUAUCGCUUUCAGAGUGCAUCCAAGGUGAGAUUUGGUUGUUGAAUCCUGGAGUUAGACCACUGGUACCCUAGUGCACUGAGUUUGUCUUAGAGGAAGGUGGAUCUAUUUCAAAGACAGUGCUUGUCACGCCUCAGCUAAUAAGUUUUUCUUUUUACUCAUUUUGUUCUUUAUUUGUGUCUUUUGGGCUAGUCUUUUGUUUCCAUACCCUUAAAAUCCAACAAUCUUGAAAUAUAUCCAAAUGGAAGCUUCCCUAGUUCACACUUGUCCUGACACCUCUCAAAUUGAUAAUUUCAAUGGGACUUUCUUUUAGGAAAAGGGUUUUCUCUAAAAUUGAUGUGAUGAACUUGGGACACAUUUUGACUGACCCAAAACCAGAAGAUGGUUCUCAUCUGUUACCAACCUAGGAAACUGGAAAUAAACAAGUUAGGCAUGAUAUUUUGAGUAUCCUUUCUAAUGAACUUUUUGAUAUUUAAUGUCAAUUUAAAGUUGCAAAAGAAAUUUGGAAUGCAAUGAAUAAAAAAUAUAUUUUGGAAGAUGCAGAAACUCAGAAAUAUGCCAUAGGGAAUUUUAGAAAUUUUCAAAUGACUGAGGAUAGAGAUGUAUCAUCUCAAAUCCAUGACUACCACUUGAUGAUUAAUGACUUAGCUAUUGAAGACAUUAAAUUACCCGAACCUUUCGUGGCUGGUUAUUUAGUAGAGACUCUUCCAGAGUCUUGGAAAGACUAUAGAAAUAACGUGAAACAUAAAAGGAAACAAUUGUCCUUAAAGGAUGUCAUAAUCCAUAUUAGGAUUGAGGAACAAAACCGAAAUAGUGACAAUAUUGAGAAAACUAAGGAAUUGUCUUCUAAGGCUAAUGUAGUAGAAGAAAAACCUAAACCCAAAAACAAUAGGUCCAGGAAACAAAACUCUAGGACCAAGCCCAAUGCAUCAAACAAGGUUUAGAACUCAACUAUUAAAAAAUGGGGUAAUUGCUUUACCUGUGGCAAGUCUGGACACCAUGUAGCUUAAUAUCGCCACAGGAAGAGAACCGAGAAGUCCAAUUCAAAGGCAAAUCUGGAGACAAAGGUGAUCACAACAAUAAUCUUCUUUGAGGUGAGCAUGGUCACCAAUAUGAAGGACUAGGUGGUAGACUCUGGGGCUACUAGGCACAUAUGUGGGAAUAGAAGUGCAUUUACUUCCUAUACCACUACAAAGGAAGGAGAUGAACAAGUGUUCAUGGGUGAUUCUAGAUCUACUCCAGUGAUUAGAAAAGGGAAAGUUCUCCUCAAGCUAACCUCUGGAAAAUUGUUUGCCCUCUAUGAUGUUCUUCAUGUGCCAGAUAUCCGUUGGAACUUGGUGUCGGUAUCUAUGCUUGGAAAAGCAAGAGUGAGGAUCUUGUUUGACUCUGAUAAAAUAAUUUUAACCAAGAAUGAUGCAUUUGUGGGAAAUGGCUAUGUAAUCAAGGUUUAUUUAUGUUGAAUGUUUAGGAUAUUAUCAAUAAUAAUGCAUCUUUUUCUUUUGCUUACAUAGUUGAUUCUUGUGACAUUUAGCAUGGUAGACUAGGACAUGUGAACUUUUCAUUUAUGAAGAAAAUGGUUGAAUUGAGUUUAAUCCCUAAACCGUCCUUAGAAAACCAUGGAAAAUGUGAAUCUUGUGUAGAAUCUAAAAUCACAAAGGAAUUUUGCAAAUUAGUUGAAAGAGAAUCAGAUCUACUAAGUUUACUACAUAGUGACUUAGGAGACCUAAAAAAUAUAAUGACUAGAGGUGGUAAACAAUUCUACAUAACUUUCAUAGAUGACUACUCAAGGUAUACAAGGUUAUAUCUUUUGAGAAACAAAGAUGAAGCAAAAGAUGUUUUCAUCAAAUACAAAAAUGAAAUGGAAAAUAAACUAAGUAAGAAAAUUAAAAGACUUAGAACUGAUAGGGGAGGAGAGUAUGAGUCCAACCCCUUUAAUUCUUUUUGUGAAGAUCAUGGGAUCAUUCACAAAACUACUCCUCCUUAUUCCCCUGAGUCUAAUGAGUAGUAGAAAGGAAAAAUAAGACCUUAAAAGAAAUGAUGAAUGCAAUGUUGGUAAGUUCAGGAGCACCCUUGAACUUGUGGGGGAAAGUUAUCCUAUCCGCAUGUCAUAUUCAAAAUAGAAUACCUUACAAGAAAAUGGGUAAAACUCCUUAUGAGUUGUGGAAGGGUUAUGCACCUAAUAUAGCAUACCUAAAAGUGUGGUAGCUAAAGUUCUUCUCCCUGAACUUAAAAAACGAAAACUAGGUCCUAAAACCUUUGAUGCAAUGUUCAUUGGCUAUGCUGAGAAUAGUGUGGCAUAUAGGUUUCUUGUUACUAAGUCAGAAAACAAUCUUGUAAAUGUCAAUACUAUAAUAGAAACAAAGAAUGCAAAUUUCUUUCAAAACAUCUUUCCUAUGAAACUAAAUGGUGAACAAGUCUAGAAAACAAGUAGAUACAAGUCUAUUGAACCUUCUGAACUUGAACCUAGAAGAAGUAAAAGAGCUAGGAAAGAAACAAACCUUGGAAAUGGUUUCUACACCUUCCUAAUAGAUGAGGACCUUAAAUCCUACAAAGAAGCUAUAACUUCUCCUGAUGCACCAUUCUGGAAGGAGGCCAUUAACAGUGAAAUCGAUUCAAUCAUGUAUAACCAUAUAUGGGAGUUGGUAGAUUUACUUUCUGGUGCAAAGACUAUUGGUUGUACGUGGAUUUUUAAAAGAAAGUUAAAACAAGAUGGCUCUAUAGAGAAGUAUAAAGCUUGUUUAGUUGCCAAAGGCUUUAAACAAAGGAAAUAUGUAGAUUACUUUGACACCUUUGCCCCUAUGACUAGAAUAGCAUCAAUUAGAGUAUUGAUUGCUCUAGCUCCCGUUCAUAAGUUGGUGGUACACCAAAUGGAUGUCAAGACUGCAUUCUUAAAUGGGGAUUUGGAAAAGGAAAUUUAUAUGGAUCAACCUGAGGGUUGUGUAAUUCCAAGGAAGGAGAAAAAGGUGUGUAAAUUGGUUAAAUCACUAUAUGGGUUAAAACAAGCUCCUAAACAGUAGCACAACAAGUUUGAUCAUGUGUUAGUAACUAAUGUAUAUUCCAUUAAUAAUGCUGAUAAGUGUAUCUACAACAAGUAUGAGGAUAACACAUGUGCAGUCAUCUGCCUUUAUGUUAAUGACAUGCUGAUCUUUGGAACUAGCCUAAAGGUUGUGUGUGAGACCAAGAAAUUCGUAUGUUCUAAGUUUGAUAUGAAAGACCUAGGAGAGGCAGAGGUGAUUCUAGGAAUUAAAAUAACUAGAACACCUAAUGGGCUUAAACUUUCUUAAGAGCACUAUGUUGAGAAGAUCCUAAGGAAGUUUGAACACUUUGAUUGUAAACCAGUGUCAACUCCUUAUGAUCCCAUCUCACAGCUGAAGAAAAUAGAGAUAUGCUCAGAUCAUAGGGAGCCUAAUGUACUUAAUGAACUGUACCAAACUUGACAUUGCUUAUACAAUAGGUAAAUUGAGACAGUACACCCAAAGUCCUAAUCAAGACCAUUGGAUUGUUGUUCGUAGAGUCCUUAAGUAUUUGAGAGGCACCAUUAACUACGAUUUGUGCUUUAGUGGAUUUCCAAGUUUCCUUGAAGGAUUUAGUGAUGGAAAUUGUAUAUCGGAUUCAAAUGAGAUGAAAUCUAUUAGUGGAUAUGUUUUCAUCCUUGGUGGAAGUGCAGUUUCUUGGAAGUCUGCCAAGCAAACUUGCAUUACUCGGUCUACUAUGGAAGCUAAGUUUAUUGCCUUAGAAAAGACAAGUUCUGAGGUUGAGUGGCUUAGAAACCUCUUAGUAGAUAUCCCUUUAUGGACGAGACCAACCCCGUCUAUGUCUAUGCAUUGUGAUAGCCAAGCUACAAUUGCUAAGGCUAAGAGUAAAAUAUUAAAUGGGAAAAACAAACAUACGCCUAAGGCACAAUAUUGUGCGGCAGAGGCUUGAAACAAGGGUUAUAUCCCUAGAAUUUGUGAGGUCAAAGUUGAACUUGGCCUAUCCUUUGACCAAACCACUAAAUAAGAAACUAGUGGAAGAAACAUCGAGGGGAAUGAGACUUAUGCCUUUUACAGAAGUCAAGAGUGGUGGUAGCCCAACCUAUUAGAAUGGAAAUUCCAUGAAAUAGGUUCAUAUAGGUAAUAACAAAUCACUUGUUGACUUGAGGUGCUCUAUCAACUCUAAUUGUAUGAGAGUCCAUCCCUAUGGUGUAGAUAAAGUGUAUUCUGCAUUGACUAAGGUUGAGUGUUUACUCUUAAUGAAUAUCAUAUUCCUUAUGGAUGGUAUGUUUAAAUGCAGAACAUACUUGAUGGAUUCACCUAUAUGAGAGUAGAGGUGGGGCCGCUUCCUAUGAGAACUUAGGCAGGUUCUCUAGAGCUCUCAUGAAUAUCCAGGUAGGGUGCAUGGCCUAUUUGUGCCAACCCAUUUUGUACAACUCGUAGUGUAGUUGAGAAAACCAAUGUGGAUAAAAGUCUCUUGAGUUAUAUAAAGAAACACUGGUUCAUAGAAAUUUAUUUUCACCAUGUUUUGUGAUUCAAUACUUAUUUGUCCUAAGACUGGUUCAUAUUCUUUGGGCACUAGUACUGAUGCAUUGGAUUCUUUUUUCCUAAAAAAAAAAAACUAUGUUUACACUCUGUGGGGGAUUAUCGGAAGAGUGUAAAUAAUUUUUAUUUUUAUUUUUGGGAAUUAUUUUUAACUUAUUUUAUUUUAUUUUAUUCUAUUAGGCUUAUAUUUUUGGAAAGUGUUCUAUUGAGAAUUAUUUUUUAUUUUAUUAUAUUUUAUUUUAUUCUAUUAGUGUUAUAUUUUUGGGAAGAGUCCUACUAGGAUUGUGUAAGUGGAGUCUCAUUCCUUUUAUAAGUAGAUUCCUCUUCCACUUUGUAUAAUCUUCUAAUUACAAGUAGUUUCCUAUUAGGACUGUGUUAGUAGCCUAUAAAAGUAGGUCACUCCUCUCUCUAUUUGAAUACCAAAUUUUCAGAGAAUUUUCAGAGAGUUUUAGGGAGCAUUUUCAUACAUCUAUUUGGAGGAAUUUAUUAAAAACCCGAAUUGUACACAUCUCGCUUUCAAAGUGCACCCAAGGCGAGAUUUGGUUGUUGAAUCCUGGAGGUAAACCACUGGUACCCUAGUGCACCAAGUUCGUCUUUGAGAAGGGUGGAUCUAUUUCAAGGACAAUGUUUGUCACGCCUCAGCCGAUAAGUUUUUCUUUUUACUCAUUUUGUUCUUUAUUUGUGUCUUUUGGGCUAGUCUUUUGUUUCCAUACCCUUAAAAUCCAACAAAUGUUAUGUUGUGUAAACAAGUUUCACCCAUUGUGGAUUGAAAUGUUUAACAUUUGAGGUUGUUAAUGGUGAUUUUUCUUGUUAUAAUUGUUAUAAUUGUGAGAAAAACAUUGACAAUUAUGUCAUUUUUCAUUUGGGAGUAUUUAGAUCUCCAAACAGCAACUUGACUGAACAUGACCGCAAAAUUCAUCCACUACCACCACUUUCCUCCACCUGCAACUCUUCAAAUCCAACAUGUACGGCACGUAGGCUUCACCAAAGCUUUUGCAACCAAUCACUAACAACUUCCCCUCCCAUGUUGUCAUGUAAGCUGUGUGGCGAAUCUCAGCUAGCAUCUUGGCUACUGUCUGCCAUCAGGAGUUCUGCAGUGCCACCACCUUACCAGCAUGGCACAUGUACAUCCCCAUAUCACCACCGUCCACGCAGGUUCUCGGGCAUGUGCUGGCUUCCAGGAAAUCCUCCUCUACAUUGUCCCACUGCCAGUUGGCAAAAUCAAAGGCUUCUGCGCUCCUCUUGAACCUGCCUUGCAUCUCUAUGCAGUACCUGCCAAUGACAUGGAACUUACCACGGUGGAAAAACUAUUUGCAUUCAUCGCGCUCCCUUGCCAUGUCAUGAAGCGGGCCCACUCAUCAUUUGCCACGUCAUACACCAACGCAGGCCUCAAUUCGUCACACAUCAAAAUAAUCAAAAUUCAUAAUGCAACCUCCAAAAUACAUUUUAUCAUUUGCCUUCUCAUCCCCAAAAAUUCAAAAUAAAAAAUUCCACAUAAUCAAUACUUUAGUGACUAUUAUAUUUUUCAUGUUUUGGAUUUUAAUUCUUUUAAUUCAUUCUAUCUUCAUUAUUUAAGCCCAAGUUCUACUAUUAGUAAAAAUAAACUAAUAUAUAUAUAUAUAUAUAUAUAUGUAUGUAUACUUUGGUGACUUGCAUGGAGGUUAGCAACUGCACUACUCUAUCACAUGGCCCAUGAAAGAUAGGUAGAUGUGAUGAAUCGAUCAAGUUUUGGAAUCCUAGUCCUUGCUAAUGGGGGACAUAAGGCACAUGGAUGAUUUGGAAGAGAGGUGCUGAUGGGGUGCUUUCUACUGAGUCUCUCCUUGAGAAUCCAACUCUCUUUGCUAGAUUCCAGACUGUUGAAUGGGCUCUGGGUGGUGAAAAAGGCAAUUGAUGGGUCAAAGCCAAAUAAGCCUUUCCACCAUCACCACUAACAAAACCUACACCUUUGCAAUAUGGGCCACACUUUGCAGGCCACCUUUGGCAUGCAAUCCCACUUCCACAUUUCAUCCUUUUUAAUUCUUCAUAUUUUGAUAUCAAAGUUUAAUUUUCCAAAUUUUCAAUUUUCAAAUUUAAUUUCCAAAACUUCUAUUUUCAAAUAAUUGUCCAAAAUUCUGAUUUUCAAAUAAUUUUCAAAACUUCAAUUCCUUAAUUUAAUCUUCAAAACUCCAAUUUCUUUCAAAAUUAAUUUUCAAAACUCCAAUUCUUAAAUUUAAUUUUUAAAACUUCAAUUUUCAAUUAAUUUUCAAAACUCCAAUUCUUAAAUUUAAUUUUUUUAAACUCCAAUUUUCAAAACUCCGAUUUCUUUCAAAAUUAAUUUUCAAAACUCCAACUCUUAAAACUAAUUUUCAAAAUUCCAAUUCUCAAUUAAUUUUCAAAACUUCAAUUUCUUUCAAAUUUAAUUUCCAAAAUUCCAGUUCUUAAAUUUAAUUUUCAAAACUCUCAUUCUCAAAUAAUUUUUUAAAUUUUAAAUUUUUAAAUUUAAUUUUCGAGACUUCAAUUUUCAAAUAAAUUUUAAAACUAUAGUUUUCUUUCAAAUAGUUUUAAUUCCACUCCAAUUUUCAAUUAUUUUUUAAUUCUACAACAUUUCAUCCUUUAUUAGGGUUUUAGGUCAAAAAAUCUCGUUUUUAAUAAACUUGCUACAUUUCCCUUCAGGUAAGAACUUUUAUAAAUUUUCUUUGAUUUUUCAGAUAAUCUUUCGUUUCUCUUGAUUUUAAAUAAGCAUGAAGACAAUUUUCAUAAUUAAAAAACAAUGGAAUUUGUGGGAUUAAUUCAUGCAAAAAUCAAUCGAGCUUUGAUGGGGACCCAACAUUCAUAAGAUUUUUUUUGAAAAUAAUUCAAGUGAAUUGCAUAAUUGAUAUUGUUCGAUUUUGAUUGGUUUUGUGUGACAUGUUUUACACUUAUCAUUAUGCACUAACCCCGUUUCAUUGAUAGCACAUCUUUACUUGUUACUAAGGUACGAUCUCACUUCCACUUCACUUAUUCUCAUGCAUGAUUCAUUUUAUUAUUUGAUCAUUUUAUUGGUAUCCAUUGAUUUUCUUAUCCAUUGUCACACUUGCUUCACCUUAUUUGGUAGGGACCUGUUUUUAGGGACUUAGAGGGGUGCUAUGGUCUUUUUACUGUAUCUUCCCAAUAAGUAACUUGACCAUCGGACCCGACUUGAUUUUUCAGACCUGUUUUUUCAAAUAAGGAGUCACACUUAGGGUUUUCUUUCUUAUUUUGUUUUCCCUUUAAAAAUAAAACAAAAAUAAGUGGCGACUCCAAGUCUUUUCUAAAAAUCAUAUUUUUCACCAAAUAAAUAAAAAACGAGUUUUGUCAUCGAGUGGGAACACAUCGAGCAAAAAUACGGGUUCCACAACAUGCUUCCAAGCUUUGAAAAUGCUAAAGGAUUCAAGUAGAGAUGAAAAUGAGACAAGUUCAGGAUGAGUCAACCUCAUUCCAAUCCCACCCCAUUAAUUGAUAAUAUUUUUCAUCCUUGUUUCAUUAAAAAAAAAAAAAAUUAAAAGGGAUGGGAUAGAGCAAAUUGAAAAAUUUUCAAUUAUAUUAAAAUAAAAAUAUAUUUUAUAAAUAAUUAAAAUAUUAUCAUUUUUUAUAACUUAUUUUAAAAGUAUUUUACUAUUAUUAUAUAUAUUAAAAAUAGGAAAUAAAAAUUAAAUUAAAUGUUAAACUUAAUUUUAUAUAUAAUUGAAGUGAGACCUACGACACAAAAUAAUACUUGAACCCAUCCCAAACUCGUCUCGAAUUUAAAAAAAAAAAAAUUAAACUUAUCCAUUGUUUAUUUAAAUUUCAAACCUAUUUUAUUAAAAACGAGACAGGGAUGAGUGCUUGAAAAAAACUCAUCUCAUUGCCAUCCUUAAACUCAAGAAAUAAAAAUUUAAAUUCUAAAAGGAAAUGUCCAUUCUUAAUAUCAUCAUUGAAAACAAAUUACUUAAGCCUAUCAAACAUCCAAGUCAGCAGGAUUUAUUCCUAAGAAAAAAUGAUGCUCAAUUCUAGUUAUCGUGGAAUGAGCCACUUUCCCGGUAAAUGGAAAUUACCCAAUAUUUCAUUAAAGUGAAAUCUCUUAUCGAAAAGUUAAAAUUAAUUAGUAGAGAUUGAAACAGCCAUUAUUAUUCAUAGUUUAUAGCUCAAAUAUAAUGAGUCUAUUUCUGUAAUUGGAGGAAUGACCAAUUUACUAUUGAAAACCAAUUCAAAUAAUAGAUAUUCAAAUAUAAGCGCUUCAUUUAUUGUUUACUAUUGAAAAACCGAUAAUUCUAUAUAUCAUUGAAAAAUGCAAUUCAAUGCUUUCAUGUACAAUAUAAUAUAGUGCUGAUGAAGGCAAGCAUAAAAUCAUGGAGACAGGGUCUGGAGCCAAGACUAAAGGGGCAUCAAUACGCGUCUUUGUCAAGAAGGGAGAAAUCAAAGAAAUGGUGGAGCCUAUACAUUGAAUUAUUGACAGAAUUUUGUGGGGACCCAUAUCGAGAAAAAUAUUCUUUCAAUAUAUAUAUAGAUAUUUUAUAUUUUUUAAUUCUAAAUUAAUUUUUAUGUUGGGAAAUUGAUACGAGGGAAGAGUAGUUGUGAGUAGAAUUAUUAAAGUUGUAUAAACAAGUGGCAAUCUUGAUACGUGAGAAUGAUAAAAAUUAUACAAAUUUUAGCAAGUUUGGGUAAGGUAUCAUUAUAUUCGAGUAAUAAUCAUGUCAACUUGUAUAACUUAUUUAAAGUAUUUAAAGACAUUUAUGAGACGGAUUUGCAUUGUCUAAUUUUAGUUCUUAUUGAAGAACAAAUUACUAUCAAUUUCACGAGGACAAAAUUAUAAUUAGUCAAAUUAUUUGAAAGUGAAAUCUUAAAAAUAAAAACUUUCAAUUAAAUUCGAAAACUAAAACUAUUAAGUAAAGAGUUAAAAAACUAUCGAGCAGAGCUUAAAAUUCAAAUAUAAUGCAUUUAUUGUUGUAAUUCAAGCCAAAUAUUUAUUAUUGAUUAUUAUAAAUAUAAUUUUAUAUCCAUUUUUUAUAUUUAAGAUAAUUUAGCACAUUUGAACAAUAUUUUGAGAAUAAGAUUGGAGCAUCUAAUUUGACUAAUUGGAUAGCAAAUCAAACUAAUCAAAUCUUAUUUUCAUAUUUAUCCACCUUCAAUUCUAAGAUAAAUAUGAACAAAAGUCUUUAUAUGUUUAUAACAAUAUAAACAAUAUAAACACAAAAAUAAUGAGUAUAACAUUAAAUAACAAAAAAUUUAUUUCAGCCUUGGAUAUAUUAUUAUAUACGUUAUAUAUAUGUUAGUAAAAUUGGAAAUAUUAAUACAUUCAGUAUAUUAAAUAAUAAAAUUACAAGUUUUUUGUUAUUAUUCAUAUUUAAUUAAUAAAUUUUAAUUAAAUCUAAAAUAAAAACUUUUACACAAAUUAGUAUAAAACCAAGUGUGGUCAUUAUAAAUCAACCCUAUAAAAAAGACUUAAAUCUAUAGAAGUCUAAGUAAAUAAAUGAGAAAUAAUGUUAAAAGAUAUGUAUAAAAAAAAGAAUCAUUGUUUAGUAUCUUGAUUAUUUAUAUAAUUUUAACUUCGUGUAUUAUUUUAAAUUUUAAUAAUAUAUGAAUUAUAUAUGCAUAUUGUCAUGCUGAUAUCAUGUUUCAAUUACUUGAACCAUCGGUUCAAUAAAAUAAAAAACUCUAAUGUAAUAAUUUUUCAAUUUAGUGACUAAUUAAUAAGAUUUUCAUAAUAUCGUAUUUGAAAUUUCAACACAAAAAAUGAAUAUGAAAAAUCAUAAAACUCUUACAAAGAAAAGUGACUUCAUGAAAAUAUGGAAACCCUAAACCUUAAUUUCUUCAAUAAUGCCUAUCAAAAUUCUUAUGUUUAGGCAAUAUUAUGAGAGAACCAAUAAUCUCAUCCACAAAUCCAACAUAGUCAAUGGUCAAUUCUUAUGUUUACGAGAUAUAUAUACCUUGUAUAGUUUAUGUAUCUUUUGGAAAGUCAUGUAUAUAUUUAAAUGUUGUAAUGUAUAUCUUGAAUAAUAUACUUUUGACCAUUCAUUUAUUCAAUACUCUUGUAAAGAAAAAUGACUUUAUGAAAAUGUGGAAACCUCAAACCUCAAUUUCUUCUAUAAUGCUUAUUAAAAAUUUUGCAAUUGAAAGUUGUGUAAUCAAGGAAGCUAACAAUGCAAGGUUAGAACUAGCCACUCCUAACCAGACUUAUUCUUCUACAUAUGCCCAUCUUCAUCUCAAGUCAGUUUACUUUUCUAUUUUAAGAAAAUUAAUUAUUAUUUUUAUUUUCAUGUAUUGAAAAAAGUAAAAGAAAAAAUAAGAUUAAGCACUGUUAAACCUCAAUCAAUCUCGACAUAUAUGUGAGAAGAUAAUUUAAAAGUGUAUUUGACAAUAUUUUAUUUUGAAGUAUUUUUAAUUUUAAUAAAAGUAUUUUUUUUUAGAAAUGAUUUUGAGAUAAUUUUAAAAAAUGUUUUUAGUUUUUCUAAUACUUGAAAAAUAAAAAAAUUUAAGUGUUAAAAAUAUUAAAAAUAUUUCCUAAAAUCACUAUUAAAUGUACUUUAAGUGUUUCUUCAAAAAGUACCAUAAAUAAUAUUUCGUAUGUUUAAAAAUGUUUUCUGAAUUUUAUUAAAUACUUGAUUUUUCUUAAAAAAUAUUUUUUAAGCUAGAAGUGAUUUUUAAAAACACUAUUAAAUGGCCCCGUAAGUCUUAAAAUAAAAUCCGCAUAAGACUACUACAUGGACCUUCAAUGAGUCUUUGUCUCAUAAUAAAUAUUUUGUUAUGUUCACAUGUAGAAGGGACAAAUAAUACUUAAAAACUAAAAAUCAUAUACAAUAGAAAGUGUGGAAGCAAGAAGGAAUAGAGUAGAAGUUGCGAAGUGAUGGAGCCUUGGGUAAAAUAAAAUUAAUAACGGCAUUAUCAUGGGAGAAUUGUGUUUUGAGCUUAGCUGGUCCCAAAAAUUAAGUUCUAGUCCAUGUAACUUACCUAAUUAAUGGAAAGGAUAUCAAAUAUUAACAGACCAAUAUGCCCUUUACAUUUCCAACUCAAAUGGUUGUAAAUUAAUGGGUUUCACAGCAAUUAAACUUGAAAUGUCAUGUCACCUGAUUGAAAAUUAUGAAAUAAAGGCCAUAAGGGUCACCACCCUCCUACCCCUUUCUCUCUCUCCGUAAACAACAUACUCACAAACGAUGAUGACUGUGACUGCCCCCCAAUCGGUUUUUUCAGCAACCAAGGAUUGUGAGCAUUUUAGAAAAGCCUUUGUAGGUAUUUUAUCAUCAUCAUUCCCAAAUCCAAGGGAUGGGGGGUUUGAAUUAUUUUCUCACGUUUUGAUUUAAUCAGGUUGGUUCUUUGAUGAUGUGUUGGAUAUUUGUUUACUGGGUCAUUACAAGGUUUUAGGAAAGGCAAUUGUUUUGAUCUCGUGUUAGGGUGUUUAAAAAAAAUUUGAACUUAAUAACAUAGCGUUUUUGGAUGUAGGGUGGGGGAUAAAUGAGGUUUUGAUCAUAUCCAUCUUGGCUCAUAGGAAUGUAUCACAACAUAAAUAAAUUCAAGAAACUUACAGUGAAUCUUAUGGAAAAGAUCUCCUCAAAAAUGGCAUUUCACCUGUCUGAAAAAUUUUCACUUUAGCAUUUGCUUGUUGGGUUUAUCGUCCAAAGAGAAGAAAUGGGUAUCAUCCAAAUGCUGAGCUUUGGGGAAGAAGAUUCUCCGGUGAUGAUGCAAUUCAUCCAUAAUAGCUAUCCUUCGAAUCAAACAUAUUUCAAAAGCAGAGAAGUUGGUCCACCCGACGAAACGAAGAAAAUGAAUAACUCCAAUGAAGAUAUAAAGCGGCUACAAUUGUGGUCGUGAUGAUGGCAGUGGCCCAACAACCUCCUGUGAAUAUGGAAAUAUGCUAAAUAGGGUAUAUGCCCUAUUUUGGGGUAAGUAUAUUUUCUAGAAUUCGAACCUAGGUUGAUGGAGGAUUGAGUGUGUUUUUAUUAUGUUUAGGGAUGAAUUAUGACAUUUAUAUUUGUGAAAAUUAUUCUGCUAUGAUCCAAAGCACAACCCUAUUAAUUAUAUGAUUGAAACUCCUUUAUGUUUGAGUAGAAGAUUAAUAAUAUGAUUGAGAAAACAAAGGCUAUGCUUAAUUAAGAAAAACACUCAAAAGGGGGGGGGGAGGGGGGUGAAUUGGGUUUUUUAAAAUCUUUUCAACACAACAAUUUCAAGCACAAUAUAAACAAAAAUAAAGAAAUAGAGUUAUAGAAUUCAAACUCGGGUUUUAUAGUGGUUCGGCACUUCCUUGCCUACGUCCACUCUCCUUAAUCUCCUAACCGAGUGAGGCUUCCACUAACUUGAAGCUUCAACCAAGCUUCCAAUAUUCUUACACUUGGAUUCUGACUCCAAUGGGCUCUUACACAAUCUCUUCAAGAUUCAAACCUCUUGAAGGCUUUAACACUCAGUUUUUACAAGAAUGAAUCACUCAACCUAACUCAAAGAUAGCUCAAAUACAAAACAAAGAUAAGAUGACUCACAAGAGCGCACUAAAGGAUAUGCAAGUGAUGAUUUAAUGCAUUAAGAAGGAAAUGAGAGCUUUUUGGUUAAGAACAGGUAGGUAGAAAAUUGAAUUCAAGUGUUCUCUCUAUCGUAAAUGAAGCAGAGCUCUUAAUUUAUAGGUUUCUAAGCUCGGGAGCCAAAAACAGCAAAAGAUAGCCUUAAUCGAUUGAACUGAGGGUCGAUCGUAUCACUAGCCGUUGAGCAUUUAAUGCUUUGAUAGGUUACCGUUACCUCAAUCAAACCUCGACCGGACAUCAACUAGAGGUCGACCAGGAAUAGGAGAACCUCAAUCAGGAAGAGGAGGCUAUUGGAUGAGAGAGAGUGUUUUUGGCACCCCUUGACUGGACCUCGAUCGGACAAGGGCAACCAGUCGACCGGUUCCCCAACCGAUUGAGCCGGUUGGCCAUAGCCUAGACCGGUUCAGCCUUUUGGCCCCGAAAACCUACCUUUUUCAAUUCCUUUCUUUUCUAACUCUUAGGCAAGGUAUUUAGGUGAAUUAAUAUGCCAAUUUAAAACAUUUUGCCUAAGGUACAUUUGAUAAAACUCGGGUUUUAAUGAAAAUGAAAGUUUAAAUGAUAAACCGAGUUUUCAAAGAUGUAUGAAAUGGUAUGAAAAACUUAAGUGCACCCAUGCAUUCAUCUUACAUUCUUUUCCUAUUAUCAAAAGUCUUCCAAAAGUCUCGGUCUUGUAUCAAUUUGGUCAUUUGAUAAAUUUCUGAAUCUAUACCUAAGAUUCUUUACCAUUCAAAUCAAUUAGUCACUUAACCAUGGUUUGUUAUCAUCAAAACCCGAUUAGGAGAACCCUUGGGCUAACAAUAUGACUAGUAGUUAGGGAACAAAUUGAUACUUUAGUUUUUCCUUAUUUUAUGAACCAAAAGAUUGCAUACAUGAUUAACCUAUGCAUGAGCAGACAUUCAGUAGUGGUUGUGUGGAAGUUAUGUCUCUGUACAAGACAUUUACAUUAAGUGUACAAGGUACAUGUGCUUACUGUACAAGAGUGUACAAAGGUAACUAUGUUGAAGGAUUUGCAAUCCUUUUAAAAUCAUUUCCAUUUUGAAAGGAUGAAGAACAUUCUCUCACACAUUCCUUGAUCACACACUCAUCCCAUUCAAUUUUAUUACUUCAUACAUGUUCAUUGGAUGACCUACCACAGUAAUGAUGAAUAGGAACCUAUAUUGGGUUUCACUUCCCCCUUUUCCCUUAGGCAUUACAUUGGAACAUGGUAGCUCACCCAUAUGCACGCUUUUAGUUGUAGCUAUGUCAAAUUUUUGCCAUUGUAUAAGACAUUUACACUAAGAAUGUAAAUGUGCUAACUAUACAAGUGUGUACAAAGCUAUCUAUCUUGAAGGAUUUCAAAUGCUUUCGAAAAAAUUGUUUGCUCGUUUCUUUUUUCUAAGGGGGAUAUUCCACAUAGUCAUUCUUCAUUUCCCUUCGUACACAUUCAUUGUAUGAGCUAGCACACUUAUGAUGAAUAGAAACCUAAAUUAGGUUUCAUUUUCCCCAUUUUCACUCAGCCAUGACAUUAGAAUGUGGUUAACCCGCCCGUAUGCACUAGUUCAGUUGUAGGUAGGUCAAAUUUCUGCAAUUGUACAAGGCAUUUGCACCAAGUGUACAAGGCCAAUGUACUAAAUGUACAAAGGUGUACAAGGGUGUCUAUCUUAAGGGAUUUCGAGUGAUUUUGAAGAACUUACUUAUUUACUUUUUCUAAUCGUGGGAGACAUUCCUCACACGUAUUGCUUGAAAACACACUCAUUGCAUGCAUUUUAUUUGAUGUCUACCAUGUAACUUCAUUCUAUUAACUUCCCUAGUAAUUAUGAAUAUGAACCGAAAUGAGGGUAAACUUUUUUCUUCUUUUCUCUAAUCCAUGAGAAUGGAAACAUUGCUUACCCACCCAUUUGCACUCGUUCGGUUGUACCUAUGUGGGAUUUCAUGACUGUACAAGGCAUUUACACUAAGUGUACAAUGCAAAUGUGCUAACUAUACAAGUGUGUACAAGACUACCUAUCUUGAAGGAUUGUAAAUACUUCUGAAAAAAUUGUUUGCUCAUUUCUUUUUUCUAAGGGGGACAUUCCUUAUAGUCAUUCUUCAUUUUCCUUCGUACACAUUCAUUGUAUGACCUAGCGCACUUAUGAUAAAUAGGAACCUAAAUUGGGUUUCAUUUUCCUCCUUUUCACUCAACCAUGACAUUGGAAUGUGGCUAACCCGCCCAUAUGCACUAGUUCAAUUGUAGCUAGGCCGAAUUUUUGCAACUAUACAAGGUAUUUACACUAAGUGUACAAGGUCAAUGUACUAAAUGUAUUUUGGUUUUUUUUUUUUUUUUUUCAUAAUCAGCAAAGGCUAUUUUUGGAAAUAAUAAAAGUGCAUAUUCUCCUUCUCAAUUUUGACACUUCUUAAAGGUUUUGAGCUUAAAUAGUUUAGUUACAUGGACUAAAACACAAUUCUCCCCAUUAUCAUGUGUGUCUCAUUGUUGGAUGGACCAAAUUUCGCUUCUCCCAAAGAUCUUUGAAUAUUAUAAUGAGAGCCCACUUGAUGCUUCCAAAAAUAUAUUUGCAGGUGGACUCCAUCUGUCAAUCCAUUAACCUAUACAAUAUUAAAAAUCCACUUGAUGUUAUUUAGGAAAAUUAUUUUAUUUUGUUGGUGAUGGCCUGUCUUCCAUCUUACUCAAGUUUCAACUCUAAGACUUUUCAAAUUAACAAAGUGCAGUGCAGUGCAAUGAUUCAUUUUUCUUCUUUCCUCUAUCUUUGGCUCAACUUCAGUCCUUUUUUUCCUUUGAUUUCCCGGAAAGCUAUGGAGUUCCUGAGCUCAAUCGUGGGUCUGGUCCUCUGCUUCUAUGAUCACACCUCCAAGCAUACGGUCUACAUUUGCGAUCUGAAAAAAAAUCUCCAAGCCUUGAGCAAGGAAAUGGUGGAUCUCAACAACUUGUGUGAAGAUGUGAAGACAAGGGUUGAACGGGCAGAGCAACGACAGAUGAUGCGCACAAAGAAAGUGGGUGGGUGGA
Molecule: long non-coding RNA, 69683 nt
Filed under: Vitis vinifera (wine grape)
Lineage: Eukaryota; Viridiplantae; Streptophyta; Magnoliopsida; Vitales; Vitaceae
Description: long non-coding RNA (VVIN_LNC002771)
Source: RNAcentral